GAAGUUGUGGCAUAAUGGAUAUUAUUGAAGUUGUGUUGGCAUCUUCUUCUCCCACUGAUCUCCUUUCAAUUCCAUCCCACUCUUCUACAUCUCCGAGAAAAAAAAACGUAAGUGUUUUUAAUUUGGGGAAAGCAGUGAUCCUUGCAAUUUCUCCUUCAUUAAUACUGGCAUUCUCAUCUUUUUCUAUACCUAAAAAUCCAGCAUCCAACCUUCUCACCUUCAUCAAAAUCAAAUCCAGGCUUUCAAGGUGGGGCAAUCUUCCCAACGGAGGCAAGACCUCCAGCUUUGUACAAUUAUCCAGUCUAAGCGCCUGUAAUCUGGUUAAUGUCAUCAUCCAAUUUGGCAAAUCCAACCCUCCGUACCCAUAUAUGCUUAGAUUUUCCAAGUCUGGCGGAGGCUGUAAAGCUUCAAUUAAAAUGCCGUUAUCCUGGUUGUGGUUGAAAUACAAUUCCAAACGAAGCAGGCGCUUCUUAUUCUUGAGUUGUGCUUCUGCAGCGUCACUCGCAUCUUCUUUACCUCCUCCUAGCUUCCGUAUCUCAAGACUCCCUCCAAUGUGAUUUAAGUCUUUUAAAUCUCUUAGAUUAGCUGCUUUACUUUCAUUCUCACCACCACCACACACACUAAACACAUCUAAUGUUUGAAGACAUGUUACCCUCUCUAUUCCCUUUGGUAUGAAGGCCACUCUUGAACCAUAAAUCCGGAGAUGCCUCAAUUUGAUAAGUUUUCCAAUCGCCUUGGGCAAUUCCUUGAGAGACCAACACCAAAUAACGUCUAGGGAUUGUAGAUUGCAUAAAUCACACAUGGUUUCUGGCAGGGACUCCAACUCUCCACAGGCUACCAAAUUGAGGUGUCUCAAAUGUAUCAAUUUCCCUAACUCCUUUGGUAUUUCUUUGAUUGAAGACCUUGACAAAUUCAAUGACCUGAUGCAUGUCAACUGUUUGAACAAAUCAGGCAGUGCAGCUCCAAGCGAAGGGUCUCUAGUGUCGAUCAAGAGGCUGCGAAGACCUUUUGCUUUGUGAAUGGACACGGGAAAAGAGGUCUCGUUGGGCAGCAUCAUGCUUAAAUGACGAACCCUUUCAAUUGAAGUCUCCAUUGUUGCUUCUCCAAGUUUACUGGCAUCCACUGUUAGACAUUCAUUUUUUGUCAUAUAUUGGGCAAAAUCAUGCACUAUAUCAUGCAUCUUGAAUCUAAUAUCUUCUCGACCAUACGUCUUAAAAUCUUGGAAGAAAGAGCGCGCUGCUAAGACUUGAAAGUACUGCUCUCCAAUAGCCUCCAUAUCUCCACCUGAAGUCUCCUUGAGGUAACCUUGAGCUAUCCACAUCUUCACCAAAUCAUAUUUGCGCAUCUCGUAGUCUUUUGGAAACAUGGCACAAUACAAGAAACAUCGUCUUACCACAGAAGGUAAAUCGUAGUAACUCAAAAGCAAAGAUAGAAAUAUUCCUCUUUCAACCUGAUCUCUAUCAACCUCAUCUAGCCCCCACAGUUCGCUAUAUAAAACACGCUCCCACUCUUCUCUUGUUCUUUUAAACUGCAUUAGACCUCCUAAUACCUUGGCAGCUAGCGGCAAGCCCUUGCACUUGUUAGCAAUUUUAUCACCGAUAUCUGUCAAUCUUUCACGCUCAUCUUUGCUUCUUUCCUGGAAUGCCACAUGAUUGAAUAUUGACAUGCAUAUCUCAUCAGACAAUUUCUCAACAUUGAUCUGGUGGUCAGUUCCCAUAAUCGUUGCCACAGUGCCCUUACGAGUGGUCACUAGAAUUCUGCUUCCUCGUGCACAGCCUGUGAAAGAUGGUUUCAGUUGUUCCCAUUGCCUAUGAUUGUCUGUCCAUACAUCAUCAAGGACAAGAAGCAACCUCUUUCCCUUAAUGGAUUCAGAAACCAUUUGCAAAAGGGAUUGCAAUUCAAUCAAAUUCGGUUCACUCCCUUGAAGCUGCUCAAGGAUAGCUUUUGCUAUUCUAACCUCAUCAAAUGGUUCUGAAACACAUACCCAUAUCUUUUUCUCAAAAUGAGCCGUUACCUCAGCAUCCUUAAAAGCUAGUUGGGCGAGAGUUGUUUUUCCAAUUCCGCCCAGCCCUACUAGAGUGAUGACAUCAACGUCCCGUGCUUCCUGACUACUUUCACCCACCAACUUGCUUACAAUAGUUUUCUUUUCAACAUCUCGACCAAUCACGCUUGAUUCAUCAACAAAGGAGGUACUUGUUAGUCGUUGUAGUUCAUCAGUGGCUCUGUACAGAUCAAAGCCAUACAUAACUCUCUCUUUGGCAAUGUCAUCCACUUUUUCACAUACUUCUUUGAUCUUAAAGGCAAUGUCGCGACGUCGAACCACUUGAUUGAGACAAAAGCGAGGAGAUCUCAGGAAGGAACAUCGUAUCUUCUGUAGGCUGCGAGUAUUUUCUUCAGCUUCCUCCAUUUUCCAUCUAAGAAUUGCAGUGCUCCAUUCAUCUAGCACGUCAUCCAUAUCAUAACAUGCAUCUUUGAGCUUGUCUACCCAAUCUCUUACAGCCUUAUCCUUCACUUGUUUUCUAUCUGCAUCUUCAAGGACAGAUUGGAUAGCAAGGAGAUUGCUUUUCAGCUUGUCACAUUGUUUCUUCACACCCACUACUAGGUUCACCUCUUCUUGUACCUAUUAGUGUACAAAGGAAAAGAAACGCUAAGCAUGGGAAACAUUUCUGUGAUUUCAAGACAAUUUCACACCCCCUACUAGGUUUACCUCUUCCAAUACCUAUUAUUGUAGAACAGACAAGGAAGUUCAAGCAUAGGAAACAUUUCUAUUUUGUAUUAAUAUAUUUUAUUGUGAAAUGGAUUUACUAUAUUAAUAUUUUAUAUAUAAUUAAUAUAGGCAUGAAAAGAGUUCAAUAUUCUCACGAGAGAAGUAAUAUUUCUCCUUUGAACCGACAUAAAAUCUGGUUUUCAUUUUACAUUAAACUAUAGAUAUAUGGAUGUAUAAAGGCAAGUGAAUAAAAGGAUCUGCAUGUAUAUAUUUGUGAAGUCAAUUUAGAAAUAAAGGCAUGAUAAUAAGAUUGUGUGAUAACUAUAUAGUUUUAAUUCACACCAAAUACUCACUCGCUAAUCCUUUGAACUUUUUAUUGAUUAUUUUACCUUUAAUAGUUCAGUUUAAAGAGAAUUGGCAACUCUUGUUUUGUCUUUUUUGGUUUUCUUAUAUUUGGAAUGAUAUAUUUUCUUUAUGUUAUUUUUAGAAAUAUAAAAAAUAAUAAAACUAGAAAAAGAAGUCUUUAAUAAAAUCGAAAUAUAUACUUGAGGAUUUAAAAUAUUAUUUUUAUUUUUUCAAGUUAAAAGUAUUCAUUUUAUGAGAGGAAGAUAAAAGGCUUGAACUUUAUAUAUAUUUCUUAUCUUUGCCAGGUAAAUCAGGUUAUUGCAGAUGGCAGAAAAAUACCUGUUGAGCAACGAUCGUGGUUAAGUGCUCCAAGAUCGGAGAUAGAAGUGCCUCAGCCAUCGUCUGUUUAGUUCUGAUUGGAGAGAGAGAAGCAGUGAUGAUAGGAAGACAGAGAGAAAGAGAGGGUGAAGGGAAGGAGGCGGCUGAUUGUGAAUGGAAGUUAGUUUAUAUACUUAGGGUUUGGCGUUGCAGGUGAAGCUUUUGUAUUUUAGUGUCUCCACAUUUUCUUAUUAGUAUUUGUAGGGACAGGGUAAAGGGAGAUCAGCGCACCUUGUAAUUUUAGCUGGCAGUAAACCUGAAGCAUAGUUUUAAAACCCGGACCGGCCCGGCGGGUCGAUCUGGGACCGGUUCGGGUGAAGGCCAAAACCCGUUUGGAAAUUGACCCGGCUAGACCGGGGACCUGGUUGACCCGGCAAGACCCGGUCUCAAACCCGUUGACUUUUAUUUUUUUUUGUUUUUUUUUUUUUGCUAAAACGACGUCGUUUUGAUUUUUUUUAAAAAAAAUAAAAAAUAAAUUUUGACCCGGCCGACCCGGUCAAGACCCGAUGACCAGGUCAAAACCAGGAACCCGGGCCUUGGACCGGGCCGACCACCGAGCCGGAUCUUAAAACUAUAACCAGAAGUAAUGAGAAAAUAAUUUUAGCCAGCCGGCCCAAUCUAUUUUAGGCUAAUAGUGUGUUAGGCAAAACACAUAUAAGCCUUAUCCCUUUAUUUUAUUAUUUUUUAUUUUAAUAUUUAGCUAAAUAAUUUUUUUUGAAAAUCAAAAAUCAUUAUGAAUGUUUUUGAAUUUAUUUAUGGGUUUCUUUUUUUAUUAUUAUUCAUUGUAUAUUUGUAUAUUUGAUUUUGUGGAUUUUUAUGGUGGAAUGUAAAUAUAGUAUACGAUACAUUUGUUUCUCUUAAAAAAAUAUGUAUGUUUUAAUUUAAAUUCAUUUUAUUCAUUAAUCUAACAACUAUGUAAGUUUCUAGUGACCUUAAGAUUUGUGAGACUGGAACUAGUAAUUUGAGGUUCAACAUCCCAGGUCGAGAAUUAGGUCUUAAUAUGGAAGGGUUAAUCUAGGUUAACCUAAUUUUUUUAAUAAAAAAAUUAAAAUAAUAUCGUUUUGACCGAAUUUUUUUUUUCCAAAAACAAAACUACCAAUAUUUAAACAAGUUUUACUUGAGUCUAUCGGGAUAUUUUAACCAGGUCAAACCAUAUUAAUUCUUUUCUUUAUUAUAUUUUUUUGAAGUUCUUACCUUUAUUACCAAAAAAAUCCCCUUAAUUUCAGAGUCCUUACAUCUCUAAUUAAUUAUAAUUACCUUACCAGUCAUAAUGUUCUUUUCUGUACCUGAUGAAUGAUAUUAUUUCUGAGAUUUUUGAACAUGUAAUGACGGAAGCCUGCGCUGGGCUGGUUCCCUUUGUUACGUUGCUGGAGUCGCAAUGUUUCGAGGUAUCAGACCAAAUUAAUUCUCUUGCUUUUUGCAGCAAAGCUGUAUCUCUUGCUACUUGCUAGAAGCGUAAUCUCAGGAUACCACUGUUUUGGUGUUGCCUCUCUCACCAUUGUUAUUAGGUUGAAUUAAAUACCAGAAGAUUUCUGAGUAUGCAAUGACUGUAUGAUUUAACUAACCAAUACACUAUCAAGGGUGUGGCGUAUGAACUUCAUGCGCCGGCGUGUGUCACCACCGUUCCACCGUGUGCCGUUGCGGCCUCCCCAUUGAAGGUCCAAUUUUCAAGCUCACAAGCAUGACAUCUUUAAACCUUACUUGAGGUUCAACAUCCUAGGUCAAGAAUUAAGUCUAGCAUGAAAGGUUAAUCCAAGUUAAUUUAAUUUUUUUUUAAAAAAAAAAUUAAAAUAACAUAGUUUUGAUUGAUAUUGAUUUUUUCAAAAAAAAAAAAUCCAACAAUAAUUAUAUUUUAACCAGGUCAAUUCAUAUUAAUUCUUUUCUUUAUUAUAUUUUUUGAAGUUCUUACCUUAAUUACCAAAAAAUAUCCACUUAAUUUUGAGAUAUAUUCAAUUUGGUUUUGUAAACAGUACCUUAACAUAUUUUGAUUGAAAUUGAUUUUUUUUUUAAAAAAACCCAACAAUAUUUAAAUAAGUUUUACUCGGGUCUACCAAGAUGUUUUAACCAGGUCAAGGCAUAUUAAUUCAUUUUUUAAAUUAAGUUCUUACCUUAAUUACCAAAAAAAAAAUCAGCUUAAUUUUGAGAUAAAUUAAAUUUGGUCCUAUAAACAGUACAUUUUAUUUAGUUGAUCCAUCGAAUAUCUGGUGCUAUUCAAUUCAAUUUAACCAAACUUUUAUUUGGUUGAGAAGAAUUUGACAAUCAGAAUCCUGUAAUAUUGAUGAUGGCUCUUGAACUGGAAACCAUGUUUAUAUCGCAGAUAUAUUCUUGGACACCAUUCAUAUAAAGGUGAACAAUUAAGCACUCUCAAAAACCAAAUCAUAGGGAAGAGCUCAUCAACUCGAGCGCCACCAGAGAUUUACAUUUGCAUGUGAGUUGGGAUGCAAGAAUCAAUGAUUCUUAUGAGGCUGAUCACACAAUUCUAUGUGAAUUUGGGUGCGCAAUACUUUUAAGGAGAGAACUCAUCCUAGUCCAAGCACAUUAAACUUCGGAAUUCUUAUGGCAUAAGGUGUACGAUACUAAAUACACAAGUCCUAGUUAAUAUCCUCUACCAUGCAAUGCAGUGGUUCAGUCGCACCAUUUCAAAUUGUUAUUAUGUCUAUAAUCUAUGUUCAGGUACUGCAAUCUAUCUUGAAUUCAUGGUCUUCACUUAAUAACAAGUUUGGUCUGGAGAAUCCUUUAACUUGAAAGGGGACUUGUCUUUUACUUGUAGAAAUGCCAACAUUAAAUUGUUAAUAUUAAAUUUUUUUCUAUUUAGUUAUUAAACUUUCAUGACACGGAUUCCGGGUUUGACAGGUUAACCUGGUUUGACGAGUUAACCCAGUUAAUUCUGGGCUAACCCAUUAAUUUGUUUUUUCCUUUUUAAUUAUCAAACUUUCACGAUGUGAAUUCAAGGUAUGAUGGGUUAAUCUGGUUUGAAAGGUUAACCCAAUUAAUUCAUAUUUUUUUUCUUUUUUUUCAUUAGUUUUUUUUUUCUGUUGGUUUUUUUCUUUGUUUUUUUCUUUUUAACUAAUCUAUUUAAUUAUCACACUUUUAUGACACGACCUUGCAGCCAGAUCUACGUCCAAUGCUAUUGGGUAUAGUAUUGUAGUGCAUACACUUUUAUGCUAAGAGUUAACCCAAGUUUAAUGUUAUUAUUAAUAUUAUAAAUAUUACUCUUGGAUCAGGCGUUGCAACUAAAUCUAAAAUUCUUGGAUAUAACUUUGUAAAAAAACCUAAUAUUUUUAGAUCUUGGCUUUUUUUUAAAUGUAAAAAAUAAUUAACCUAUGGCAUCGCGCGGGGCAUGUAACUAGUAAUUUCUAAAAGGAAACUCAUCCUAAACUUCGGAAUUCUUAUGAAUUAAGUGUACCAGGCUAAAUAUCCUCUACCAUGUAAAGUAGUGAUUCGGUCGCUCCAUUUCAAAGUAUUUUUAUGUCUAGAAUUUAUAUGUUUUGGUAACUUUUUUUUUUUUCUGGGUGUUCAUGGUCUUCACUUAAUAAAAGGUUUGGUCUGGAGAGUCCUUGAACUUAAAAGGGGCUGUGAUGGCAUUUGGAAGGCACACGUACUGGGGGACUUGUCUUUUACUUGCAGAGAUCAUAUCCAUUGGUGAACAUUUUUCGCGUUAGGUUUGGAUAACUUUAUUAUGAUUUAAUCCACUAAAUCAAUGUGUAUCAUGUUUAAAAAAGAAAAAAGAAAAAACAGAGAGAGAGAGACGAUGUGAGAAUAAAUGGGAAGUAGGAAAUAAAAUCCAAGUCAACAAUAGAUUACAAAUGAUUACAAUCCAAUUACGGUAAGGAGGUGUAUGAAACAAACGGUGCUUAAUACAACACUGAAUGAAAUCCUCCAUUUGAUUAUACCAGAAUGCCCUUCGAUUUGAUUCCAAAAAUAUGAAGGGAAAAUCUUCAAAUGCACAAAGUAAAUCGGAACCCACAGUGAAGUAGCUCUUCAGUAUCUUCUAAGCCCAAGCUGUCAAACACAGACCAAAAGCAAACGUGUCAUAACCAAAAUAACCCAAUGAAUGGUAGAUGUUAAAAUGAGCAUUCCAUUUUCUGAAUGAAAAAAAUCCCAGUGACCUAGCUAUGACUUACAUAAUUAAUUAAAAUGGAUUUGUUAAAAUAUAGUAAAAUAUUAUACCGUUAAGAAUUAACACUGGUAGAAGAAUUUGUUGGGCGGAAUCCAGCGAUCGGUGAUGAACUGAUUAUUACUUAACGGAGGGGCAAGCACACUGACAACAAUAUUUUACGUGGUUCGGCAAAAUCACCUACAUCCACGGGAGAGAGUCCAUUUAUUAGAGAUUAGAAAAAGGAUAUAAUAAAUAUAUAGAGGAGGAUCUAAUCACUCAACUCCCAUCUCUCUUGCUGUCCUUGCAGCUGCUGCAAUGGCUGCUGCCAUUGCAGCUCUCUUUUUCUCUCUAUCCUCUUACGUUUCUCACACACUCCUCACCAGAUUUAGCUCUCUUUGCAUGCUUCUUUUAUAGGCAAUGAAUGGUCAUCAUGGAGGGGCCAACAUGCCACCAUUAGUGGCACUAAUGGAGCAACCACUUGCUUGGUGGUGGUGGCCACUUGCUUGGUGGUGGGGGUAUUGCCAAUAAAUGGCAAUAUCCUAACAGAAUUUACAUGCUCCGUCCGGUUCUAAUUAAAGAGUUCUGUCUUUCUCACCUAUAAUAAUAUAUCAUGAAAAUAAAUGUUUGGGAUGUGAGAAAUCUUUUGUCAACCUUCACCCAUCUCCUCAUUCCCGUAACUUUUCCUUCGAAUGCGGCAACCACUUAUGUAUAAUUCCUGUGGAAGGGCUGCCAAAACAUAAAAGCUGUCCCGUUUAUGUUGGAUUAUGCAAACAUGGAGGUAUCUAUAUUGAUUCUGAUAUCACAGUCUGAAUUUAUUGUCUUCCGUUAGUAAAUCUAUUGGUCUGAAGAAUCCUCUGUCUGGAAGUUCUUUGAAUGGGGCUGUGAUGGCAUUUAGAAAGCACAGGCACCAGGGGGCUUGCCUUUCACUAGCAGAAAUCAUAUUUAUUGUUGAAGAUUUUUUGUGUUGGGUUUUGAUAACUUUAUUUGCAUUUAAUCCACAAAAUCGAUGGGUAUCAUCUCUUUUAGAUGAAUGGUUUAGCUUCCAAGUCUACCAUUCUCUCAUUUAUUUGGACUUAAUCCACUGAAACUGAGGUUUUAUUUGCGCGGAUAAUGAUAAUAUUUGGUGCUAAAUUUCUUGUUGUGAAUUGCAGAAAACAGCUGCUUGAUCUUCACUAGGAUGGUGGUUGCAAAUAAUAAUUAUGCAACCCGGUACGAGUUGCAUGUUAAAUAACUAGUGUAUAUGUAGAUACAGAUGAUGGUAUUUUUUUUUUAUAAUGACCCGUCCGUGUCGUUGUAAGAGGGGCCACCGUUGAUUGUGCCUUGGCCAUGGAGUGAUAUUCCACGCACCACCAACACUGUUCAAGAGCCACACGAACAUGGAGGAAUUACAGGGGCUGGCAGGGGCAGGGUCCUGCAAGGUUUUUUUUUUCUUCAAUAAAUUAGAUUUUUAUCUUUAAAAAUAUAAAAUUUAAAAUUUUGGCCCUCCCUCUAAAAUCUUUUAUCUAAUUUGACAUUCCCAAACUACAAUUCCUAACUCCGUUGCUUACUAUACACACGAAGUCAUUGUUUUAUGAUGAAAAAAUAAUAAAUUUUUUCUUCUUUUCUUGUAUUUUUAAAUUUUGGUUUUCUUUUAUCUUAGAUUUUAUGAAUGAUGAAUUCCAUAACAAGGAUGAUACAUGCCCAUUAAUCAUACAUGUCAUUAAUAACUUUAAAACAUAGACACCUAAUGGUGAAAAUUAUAGAUACAACCAUCAAUUAAAAAAUAAAAACAGCGAUUAAAUAUAUAAAAAAAGUAAUGGAAGUACAAGAAAUAAAAUAGAAAAAUUAAAAUUAGAGACACUUCCAUUGAAAAAUAUAAAUAAUUAGAGGCCCUGAAAACACUAUACACACACACAAGAUUAAGCGCAUUGAAUAAACAACAUGGAUUGUUGGAGUGGCUGUUUUUCCAGGCCUUGGUGAGGUGGUGCAAGUAAAUGAAUUCACACCAAAUACUCACUCGCUAAUCCUUUUCAACUUUUUAUUGAUUAUUUUACCCUUAAUAUUUCAGUUCAAGGAGAAUUGGCAACUCUUGUUUUGCCUUUUUCGGUUUUCUUUGUUAAAACUUCCUAAUCGUGUAUACGAGCAUAAAAGAAUAAUAAUAAUAAUAACAACAACAAUAAAAAUAAUUACUGCAUUAAUUUUUCUCGGAAAAUGUUUUGAUGGGCACCUUUACAUAUUUUCCAUAGAAAGUGUCUAAGAUGCUCUAUGAUAAGAUUUCAAUCCAAUUAAAUAUUUUACAUAUUCAUGGAAAAUCCUCUCCUUGAAUUCUUUUUGCCUUUAUAUCAUAAAUUUUUUAAAAAAACCCUAUUCAUGUUAAAACAAACUUUUCUAUUUUAAUUUUUAAAAAUAGAAUGUUUAAUAAGAGAUAUUAUUAAAUAAUCAUAUAAUAUUAUAAAUAUUAUUAUUAUGAAUUUCACUUUUCACAUGAACAAGAAAGUAUUGCAUUAAAAAUAUCUAAUGAUAAUAAAAUUCUCUUAUUAUACAAGGUAAUUAAAGUUUUUUUAACUCAAUAUAUGUUGAUCAAUACAUGGAUGUAAUUAUCCUGUUAUUUGUGGAUAUCAUUAAAUAAUUAGUAAAAAAAAUAGGUUUUCAUGAUUAGAAAAAUAAAGAAACUUUGAAAAAAAAGAGACAAAAAAAGACAUAAUAUUUAAUGUCUUUGAUUAUUUAUUUAAAAAUUGAUAUUUAUUAACAUUUUGAUACUAGAUAAAUGGGGGAUCUAAUCGGAAAUGUAUUUUGUCUGUAACCCAAAUGAGAAUAAAAAGAUAAUCGGAGGAAAAACAAGUUGUCCUUUUCCCAAAAUAAAAAUAAAAGAGAGGAUAUGGUGUGGACAUUGAGAAAACAAUCAUUUUCAAUAACAACUGAUUAUAGUCAAUUUCAUCCAAAUACUUAUCUCUUGGAAUGGUGUUUUUUUUUUUUUUUUUGUAAAAAAAUCAUUUCCUAUAAUAGUAUUCCAUGCUAAUACAAGAGUUCGGAGGUUUGAUAUAAUAUAAAUAUGAAUCACAUUAAUUAUUUAAUUCCAUCCUAAUAACUGAAAUCCUUUUCUUUUGAGUUCUAUGGACCUGAUCAAGGAACAUUAAUCAUGCAGGAAGAGCAGGCCUCCAUGCCCUUAUGCAUUGUUCUGAUUACAGUGGUAACCUGUUCAAUUUGAUCUUCGCUUGAGCAUGCUGAUAGAAGUACUUUGGCAGUUCCUCCAUCAGGGUGACAUCCAGCAUCGAUCAUUUCUUCAAAGAUUUCCAAGCAUCUUGCGUAUAGUUUCUUUCUAGAGUAGGCUCCCAAUCUUGAAGUCCAAGUCACAACAUCAGGUUUCAGAUUUUUGGUUGGAAGUGAUUGGAAAAUACCUUCCAUUCUCUCGAAAAAUCCUGCUCGUCCAUAUAUGUUGAUUAAGAUGUUGUAUGUACUGAUAUCAGCUCCAUAAGGUCCCUUUUCCAUUGCAGUUAGAACUUCCUCCAUCUUUUCAAAUUGGCCAAGCCGGCCAUACAAGUGCAUCAUGCUGUUGAGGACAAACGUGUCUGGUUCAAGCCCAGAUUCGCUCAUCUGGUUAACAAUUUCUUCGCAUUUAUCCACAUUUCUUGCCCUUGAGUAGGCACACAGAAGUAGCAUGUGUGAUUUCAUUGUAGGGGUUAUUCCUAGUCGCUUCAUCUCAUUGAAUACCGCUUGAGCAUCUAAAAAACAUGAAGGAGCAGCCAAAUCAUUAAGCCAAAACUUCAUUCAAGGAGCAUAUACGAAAAACAAGAGGAAUUUCUUCUAAGCAAGGAAAGGUGUCGCAAAUGGAUGAAAUGCUGAUAGCCUGAUAAUAUCUCAUACAACUUUAUCUUGUUUCCUAGGAAAUCUUAGAAAUAUUGUGGAAGAUCUCCAGAAUAAAAUUGAACACUGUUCCAAAAUAUAAUCCAAAUGUUGCAAUAUAGAUCCCUUCAAGUUCGUAGUUGAUCCGAACGUUUUUAAACCAUUACAUGCUCAAAAUGUUCCCAAAUUCUCUGGAGCUUAAUCUUUCCCCAAUUCUCACUUAAUAAAGUACAUUGAUACUAUUUGGUUCAAGCAUCUUACCCUCAUGAAGGCCAGCUCUCCCAUACGCAUCUACCAUGAUGUUAUAUGAAGCUCUAUCCGGCUCACAGCCCAUGUGCCGCAUGAGUGAAAAUAUUUCUGCAGCCCCGUAAGGAAAACCUGCACGACUGUUAGGACAAGAUAGUUAAAUAUCAUCAGUUCUAUUGGGAAUCUCUUGGAAGCAAGAAGCAGCACCUCCAGUAUUCUUUUCCAUUUUCUUUGAAAGAUUAUUGAAACACCAUAUCAUUCUAUGAUACUAACCUGUAAGCUUCCAUGAGCGCGUUGUAAGUAUACACAUCAGGCUCAAGCUUAUCUUCUUGCAUCUGCUCAAAUAUUUCUUCUGCCUUCUCACAGAGUCCCUCUCUAGCAAACGCGUUCACCAGAGCUGUGUAUGUGCAGAUAUCUGGUCUGCAUUUUUGACUUCUCAUUUCGUUAAACAACUUCAAGGCCAUGUAAGAUUGACUUGCCUGUGUACAGGAAAAAGAUUAGCAAAAUGAGUUUUUAAGGAUCCUAAACACCACUGUUGUCCAGUUAUCAGAAUUUAUAACCAUAUCCUUGAAUUUAGUCUGAUAAUUGUUUGAAAUUGAAUGCAUAUAUUUCAAGUUGUUUGUUGUAUCACUGUAGACUCGUAGACGUACGAGUUACGCAUAAUUUUCUACUGGGACCAGUGGCAUUUCAAGAAGAUCAGAUUUGCAGAAUAAUUCAGAGCCAAAUACCACUGAGCUUACCUUCCCAUGAAGGUUGAUCAACAGUGUAUAGGUGUCAGUAGAGGGCUGGCAGCCAUCAUUUUUCAUUCGCUGAAAGAUCUGAAUUGCUCUUUGAGGGUUUCCAGCCUUCGUUAACCCAUCAAUAUAAGCAUUGUAUACAAUUGCACCUGGCCAAAAUUAGAGUAUAUGCUCACUUUUCACUCAUAGAAUGUGCAUGCAAGUGUAUCAACUAUCAACAGAACAGCUUGAAAAACGAAAAUCUGAGACGUAAAUAAGAGAAUGAAACACAAAAGCAGAACUAAUGCCCUGUAUUUCACCACCACAAAAAGAAGAGAAAUAACCCACGCAAUCUCAUAAAGGAAAGCUACAGAAGCAAGUUUGUCAUCCAGGAGCCUCUAGCCUAAUCCAGUUCCGGUCUAGCUAAAUUAGCAAGGGGGUCCCUCUUGGUUUAAUCAACCAUUCUCUAAGCAUGGUGAUGUAGAUAAGGAGUAGUAAUCACUACUAUUAUAGUAGCAACAAGAAAUAUGCAGACCAUGAACCAAUCUUCUCUUUUCCUACAUUUAGUAUACUUCACCCCCGAAAAGAAAAAAGAAAUACAGCUCUGUGCAAUUAUUGAGCAAGGUUUCAAAAUUUAAAACGAAUUUAACCCCACAAAAAAUCAAUUUUUGAGGCAAAGAAUCUUACAAGUUGAGGAAAUUUUUGUUUUGUAAGAAAUGGUUGAUGUAGUCCAAUAACUUCUUGAAAAUACAAUUUCCCUAAAAGCUAAGAAGAAAUGAAUUGGUAAACACAUACUUGGAGGAAGGCUAUACUUUCGCAUAUCAACAAAGGCAGCUUCAGCUUUUUCUAACAAUCCACAUGCACAGUAAGCCUUUAUAAGAAGGGCAUAAGUGUCUUCAGUAGGGAUACACCUGGCUUGAAGAAGAUCAACAUAUGUUUCUUCUGCCUUCUCGUACAAAGAUUUUUGCCCAUAAGCAUCUAUUAGUAAAUUGUAGCACAUGACAUCUGUCUGGAAGGAGCUCUUGUACAAUAUCCAUUGACAUAUCUGGAAAUUUUAGAGUUACACCCAACAAGAUUAUUAAGAAUUAAGAACAAACGAUAUGAAAAAUGUCUAUAUAAUAAAUAGAGACAGUAAAGAGAUUUGUUUCAUUUAGUUGUAGGAAAAUGCUGGUAUAUGAGAAUUCCAAACACCAACUGCAGCACCAACCACUUAAAGGAGAUUUGAACAAUCGAGGAUUCAGUCUUAAUGGUUGAAGAGAAAAAUACUGUACAAAAAUCCUGCCACAAAAAUUUGUGCGUGCAAGGUGGUUUAAUCCAUCGCCUACCACCUUACACGAUGAAAGAAAUAAGGCACGAUUUACUCACCAAUGCAAUCGGAUCCCAUUGUUUAUUCAAACGAAGUUGGACGGCUACAUUAAUAAGAUCAUCCCAAGUCUCGUGAGUGACAGGAAGAGUAUCAAGAGCAGCCCAAACAUUAUUCGGAUCCACUUCUUUCCGCACAAAGUUCAGAAUCUGAUGAGCAACAGGACUUAGCACUGGGAAAAUUCCAUCAACAAAUCCAGAUCCAUAUUUCCAUCCUUGUCCCCUCAAAGAGCCACCUGGGUAUAAAAGAUGACUUAAUAAUUAAAGCCAUAUUUGCUUGAGCAGUUAUAUGUAUGAGCACAAAGUGAAUUACUCCGUAUUACAUCGUUUCCUGGACAUCUUUUUGUGAUCAAAGAUUCGCCAUUUGCCAUGUUUGUCGAUAUAGACCCUGUCGCUUUUCCACUUUUUAACAUCUCCACUACUGGAAUUCUUUUCUCGGCGUCUGAAAUGACCAUUCCGGAUUCUUGAUUCUAUAAAAAUAUGAUUCAGUGUGCAUCUAACAAGCAACCUGCAAACACUAAUCAAGUAAACACACAAUUGCCAGCAACAAAAUACACACCUCUUAAUUUAAAGCCAUUACACGGAGGAAGCAACCAAAUAAAAUCCAUAUAAAGGAUGCUUUAGACUUCAAAAUAAUUGGACAAAGAGAGACACUAAAACUACUUUUAAUCACAAUAGCAAACACUUGAAAUGCAAACCAGAAAACCUAGUUAAAAAAGAAGAAGAAAAGUAGUCAACUUUUCCUUUGUAAACCAAAUAUCUUUUCCCUUUCUUCCGCAGUAAUUCUUAACUGCUGUGAGUAUACGUUUUUUUUUCAUUACAGAAUCAAAUAUUAGUCUAAUCUAUCAGAUUAAACUACAAAAAUCAAAAUUUGCAAGAUAAACAAGGCCACAACUGUUGAAGACUGGUUAGAGUUCAACAACGAUAAGCAUAGCACUCUGACAGCUAAAACUGGUCCAUCAUCUUAUAACUUCUGAAGUCACAGUAAGACUUUUUAGAUAAUGAUGAUUGCUCGUUCAAUAUAUAUGAGAGCCAACAAAAUGCUAAAAUGUUUUAACUAAUAAGAACACAAAACAAUUUAGACAUACUCUCUCAAGUGAACGUUGAUACUUAGCAAUUCCAUUGAAACCCAUUUCCCAGAACAAUAAAUUCCAUGAAAAAGCAAUAUUAUCCAGCAAGAGGAGAAACACCAGAAUUGAAGUUAAUAAAUACAGAAAAUAACAAGGCAGCAUGAACAGCAUUAGCAGUGGCAUUGCAUAAGGAAAGAGAGGAAGGAAGGAUACGACUUACAUGAAAGCAUAAAAGAGGAGUUUGGAGUUGGGUAUCUGUAAACAUCCAGUAGGCAAGAAGAUAUGUGAAGAGUGUUUCUUGGAUAAUGGACUACAUGGAUGAAGACCAGCACUGCCAGACAAAAGUAGCUUCUGUUUUUUUCUGUUUACUAAGGGACAAAAGCCUCAAAAUAUCUCUAACGAACUUAAGGCGUCAAACAAUAGCGUUAUUGUAGCCUCGUGGUGUCUGAGGUUGCAUGGGAUUCUAUAUUGAGACAGUAGCUGAUAGCUAGAAUAAUCAAUUCUAAAAAAGUUUAUUUUUAAUAAUAAAAAAAGAAGAAGAUCAAAGGUUAAUUUGUUUAAACACAAUGGACAAAUUAUUGUCAUUAUUAUUAGUAUAAUUUAACAGCAGAUACUCCAGCAUGACACUUGUUGCAAAGACGAAGCUAUGAAGUGCCAAUUGAGUUGCAAUUCGACUCUACUAGCAGAAGUUUCCAUGCUAAAAAAGCGAAAACUGCUGUUAAAAUGGGUUAAAAGGCUUAUUGAGGUUGGGGUGAUUUUUUUAUUUUUUAAAAAAAUUAAUUCGCUUUUAUAUUUUCAGAGUUAAUAUUAAUUUUUUAAAAUAAUAAUAAAAAUAUCAUUUUAAUAUAAUUCCAAGCAAAAACAUAUUUCAAGGGCGAAACUUCCAUUCUCUUAAUAUAAACAGGGUUACGUCAUGCAUUUCCAUUUUUACAACAGUAGUUUUGGCUGCAAUUAGAUGGGGCAAAAUAAGCUAUAACUUUUGUGUGACUUGGAUCAAAUUGAAGAAAUAGAGUGUAAACUGAAAAAUUGAGGCAAGUACAAGGACCCAAAAAUAAAGUAAGCAUUUUAAUUCGAUAUCCAUAUUCCACGGUCCCUCUCUUUCCUUCUUCGGAGCUCCAUUGGAAUUAAAUGAGAACGGCCAUAUUACAGGUCAAGCAUUGAGAGGAGAUAAAUAUAAUUGAAAAGACCAAUUUUCUGCACUCUGUCAAACGUAUCAUAUAGGAAAUCAUAUUGAUGCAAAACUUUAGAAGCCAUCUAAGAUUGGAGAGAAGUUUUGUAACAUUUCCACAUCACAGUUCUACAAACAUGGAAUUAAUGGAAACUUCGGCUAAAAGCAACUGAUUCAAGCAAAUUCCAGAGGAAAGUAACACAAGUAUCUCGAUUGGUGUCAAUACUGGCAAGAACUCCACUUUAGCCAAAAAAUACAAUGUCUAUUCCACUUCAGCCAAAUAAUCAUCAAUUUCGGCUGGAGUUAGUACCCUGCAGUAAAGAAAGCACAAGGGAUAAGUUUGCCAUGGUCAUGCCACACAUAAAUUCUUCCAAGGAAGCUUAAACAUCCAAAGAAAUAGUGGAUUGGCCAUUUUGAACACGAGAUCCAUAUGUAAAUUGUCAGACUGAAACUAGAGCAAGGGUGCGUGAAAAUCAGAACUUCAAAACUGAAACCACAAGUGGAAGGCCAUAUAUGAAAUUGGUGAGAUCCAAAAGAUUUUAGAUAUCAGAUUUUAUCUAGUUAUGAACUGUGUUAACAAAAAUGUGCAUCCUGCAAGUUACUUCUGGAACUCAUCCUAAGCUUGAAAUUACGUGACACUAUUACCAAGUUUAACAAGGAAAAAGGGUACAAUUUCAAUGUUUUUCAAAGAGCAUGCCUGAAUUGACAUGCAAAGACACCUGGUACAGCUGUGGACCUUUGUCAUCAAAACCAGCGAUUAGUAAAGAUACUCCAAAAGGCCUUACACCUCUGCGAGGAAAAACAAAGGAUGAGUAUUUUCAAACUUCAAGAAUAAGAGCAUGAAGAGUUGACAUGCUGAUGCAGGAACAUAGGGAGAGAGUUGUUGGCCUAUUAGAAUAAGGACUAAGGUUAUGAACUUUGGAAAUUAAAAUUCAGAUCUAAAUUACAAAGGAAAUCAACUAAAACCACUGAAACACUUUGAAUGUAUAAAAGAUGUUCCAGUACCCAGAUUGAGUAAACUCUUGCAUGACAGCAGCAGUUUCCCUCACAAGUUGUGUGACAGGAAUUGGUUCCUACAAUCAUAAAAAUUCACAAGUUACAACCUUCCCGAUUAACAACAAAAGAUGACAAUGAAUUGAUAUAAAAUAGUAAUUGGAUAUUUAACUCUUGGAUUUCAAGCAAAAUUAAGCUGUUUUGGGGGUCAGAAUGGCAUUGUUGGGAAUAAGACAACUAAUAAGAAGUCUUGUAAUAUAGACAACCUCAAUACCUGCUUUCCACUUUGGACCUUAGCACGAAUAUCUAAAGGAAAUGUAAUUACCCCGACGCCUCCCCAGGCGGGUGAUAUCUUAUCUUAACCAGGUUAUCAAGCAUUAGACGAAUUAUAUACAUGAGUUUGUUUAGAGGCAUCAAAAGGAUGCACAUAUCCCAUUCAUAAGAUAAGCCAAGAAAAUUUAGCAACCUUAUCACUUAUCAAUGACAUGAAAAGAAAAGCUGAAGAACAAACGUGAAGCAAAAUAAUAAAGAAAAUCUUGAAGAUACCACCUUGUACAGUCUAUGAUAUUGCUCUGCUUGCUUCCUACUUUUCCGAACCAAAACUAGAAAGUCAGGACCCAUUCCACUGCAACAAAAUACAUGUGAUUCAGCACUGUUAAGAAAAAAGUACAGCAAAGCAACCCAUUUUGACAUAGGUAAUAAGUUGCACAAGUUAGUAAGAAGUGGCUCAUUGAGCAACCAAAUUGCCAAGAUGUCUUAUUUCAAACCCAAGUACAGAGGAACUACAUAUUUGUCCCCCUCUUUUUUUCAGUUGAAACAGAAACAGGGUACAUGUACAACGUGUUAAAGUCACGUCCAUAACCAGACCAAUUAAGAACAUUGACCUACAAGGAGUUCCACUGAAGUUCAGAUUAUAACAACAGGCAUGCUUCUAUCUCAAUUUACCACCCCGGGUCAAAUUUCACACUUAUCAGGACACUAUAACAACAGCAGAAACUAUACAAUUUCCCACCAAACAUAAAGAGAGCUUUGAAUCUACACACCCGCCUGCUACAAUCAUUCAUGACAGAUAUUUUAGCAAUAAUUAAGGCCAGAGAAACACAAGCUAAAAAAAUGGAACUUCCUAAUUACUGAGAAGCAGGCAGAAACAAACCUGUAGACAACUCCAAUAUUGGGUGUCAGAUUCUGUAUUUUCUGAACCUGAAACAAGAAGCAAUUAAAUACCAUCAACAACCAACUCAAGUUACAUCCCAUCUUGCAAAUUAGAAUAAUAGACCAAUAAACUGGCUUCAAAAUCAAACCAUCUCCACCUCAGUCAACACGAUUUAAAAUAACCAACACUGCCUUUUUAUACAAUGUGGGAUUAAAGAGGAUAUAAAUCUACACACUCCAACAUUCAAAGCCCCAAUCUUAGAGUCAUUGACUAGUAUAGUAACGCCUCAUUGGCAGGAACCCAAAUCACUAAGCUCAAAUUACUAAUAAAAAUUACAAAUUUACACCGAAUUUGAACAGAUUUCUACCAACCGAUGUCACUAAAGAAAACACAAAAAAAAAAAAACGCAAAAAACCAAAAGGGCUUCUUGAAUUUAAACCAAAGAAUAUAACAAAACCAAUAAAAAAAAUAAUAAAUGUUUACUUACAGAAGAUUCAUCGACUAAAAUAGAUGGCAAUUUCUUCUCAGUUGCAAUAACAACACCGUUUGCCGCUACAACACCAAAAAAAUAAUAAAAUCAACAACAUAAUAUCUAAGCACUCAUCAACAACGUAGUGCAUUCGAAAAUGACAAGAAAAUGAGAGAAAAAAAGAGAGAGAGGGAGCUUAAAUUGCAACAACCUUUGAUUCCGAGAGAAGUUUGGCCUGAUCCAACGGCAGUCAAUGCGUGCUCAAUCUGUACUAGCUUUCCGGUAGGACUGAAAGUAGUGAGAGAAAAGGAGUACUGGCUAUCACCCAUGGUUUAUUGCUUGAAGACGCAGAGAGGAAAAACUGAGAAUGCGAGUGUGUGGGAGAGAAAGACAGGGAUAUUUACUUGGGGUUUUAAGUUUUAACUUUGCUUUUCUCGUUGGAGAAGAAGGUGUUUUCUUACGAGGGCUUUCACAAGGGAGUAUUAUGGGCUUUUAUGACGGCAGGUUGGUCCUCUUUACAUUGAGCUCAAUGAAGGCUCGGAACCAGUUUUGUUUUUAAGUAUUAUUAACAAAUUUUUAUUUAUUUAUUAAUAUAAAUAAUUUUUAAUUUAUUUAAUUACAUUUAUAUAUAUAAUUUUUAAUUUAUUAUAUUUUUUGAACUAGAAAAAUAUAUUUAAAGAACUGCAUAUAUAAAUUUUUAUAAAAAAUAAAAAUAUUUGACUCAUAAUAAAUCAUUCAUAUUUUUAUAAAAAAAUAAAGAUGGGUAAACUCUUAAUUAGGCCUUGCUGCUGAAUUUUGUUGUUGAUUUGUAAUUUAAUUAUUGUUUAAGAUUUUUUGUGUUAGAUUUGGAUAACUUUAUUUGGAUUUAAUCUCCAAAAUUGAUGGGUAUCAUCACUUAUAGAUGAAUGGUUUAGCUUCUCUCAUUUAUUUGGAUUUAAUCCACUGAAACUGAGGUUAAGAAUUUCUUGGAUUUAAUCCACUGAAACAGUUGCUUGAUCAAGAUCAUUGGCUUGUUUGAAGGCAGAUAAAGGCUUAAAAAAAAGGCGAGAGGGAGCGAGAAAGAGAGGAUGUGAGAAAUAAUUAUAGUUGAAACAAAUGAAUUACAUAUCAUUUUAUGUUGAGGAGAGAGAGAGAGGAUGUGAGAAAUAAUUAUAUCAUCUUAGAUUACAAAUCAUUUUGAGAAAAUCUAAAAGAAAAUAUCAUCUUAGAUUAAUUAUAGAUAUGAGUUGCAGUAGUUGAAAUUUCAAAGGCAAUUUUUUUAGAGUAGCAUUUGGAGAAUUUAAGUAAGGAAUAAGCUUCACGUGAGCGAGAUAAUAUCACAGCUGCAUUUGAUAGAGUAAAUGGUAAGUAGGAACUAAAAUCGAAUUACAGUAAAGAGGUCACAUAGAGUAAAUGGUAAGAAUUAACACCAAAGCAAAUAAUUAAUACCCUCAAAAAAGUUCUGCCUUUCUCACCUAAUCAUAAAAAUCAAUGUUUGGGAUGUGAGAAAUCUUUUGCCAAUCUUCACCCAUCUCCUCCUUCCCGUAACGUUCCCUUAGAAUGGGGCACCAUCUUAUCUCCAAUUCCUGUAGAGGCGCUGCCAAAACAUAGUCUGGUAGUGCUCUCAACAACGGGCAAUUAACAAUCAUCAACUCUCGAAGUUGUGGCAUAAUGGAUAUUAUUGAAGUUGUGUUGGCAUCUUCUUCUCCCAAGGAUCUCCUUUCAAUUCCAUCCCACUCCUCUACUUCUGUGAGACCCUCCAUCGCAAGUUUUUUUAAUUUGGGGAAAGCAGUGACCCUUGCAAUUUCUCCUUCAUUAAUACUGGCAUUCUCAUCUUUUUCUAUACCUAAAAAUCCAGCAUCCAGCCUUCUCACCUUCAUCAAAAUCAAUACCAGGCUUUCAAGGUUGGGCAAUCUACCCAACGGAGGCAAGACCUCCAGGUUUUCACAAUAACGGAGUGUAAGCACCUGUAAUCUGGUUAAUGCCAUCAUCCAAUUUGGCAAAUCCAACCCUCCGUACCCAUAUAUGGUUAGAUUUUCCAAGUCUGACGGAGGCCGUAAAGCUUCAAAUAAAAUGCCGUCCUCCAGGUUGUGGUCGAAAACCAAUUCCAAACGAAGCAGGCGCUUCUUAUUCUUGAGUUGUGCUUCUGCAGCGUCCCUCGCAUCUUCUUUACCUCCUCCUAGAUUCCCUAUCUGAAGACUCCCUCCAAUGUGAUUUAAGUUUUUUAAUUCUCUUAGAUUAGCUGCUUUACUUUCAUUCUCACCACCACCACACACAAAAAACUGGUCUAAUGUUCGAAGACAUGUUAUCCUCUCUAUUCCCUUUGGUAUGAAGGCCACACCUGAACCAUAAAUCCGGAGAUGCCUCAAUUUGAUAAGUUUUCCAAUCGCCCGAGGUAAUUCGUUGAGAUAACAACACUGAGUAACGUCUAGGGAUUGCAGAUUGCAUAAAUCACAAAUGGUUUCUGGCAGGGACUCCAACAUUCCACAAAAUGCCAAAUUGAGGUGUCUCAAAUGUAUCAAUUUCCCUACCUGAUUUGGUAUUUCUCUGAUAGAAGACUCUGACAAAUUCAAUGACCUGAUGCAUGUCAACUGCUUGAAUAAAUCAGGUAGUGCAGCUCCAAGCGAAGAGUCUCCAGUGUGGAUCAAGAGGCUGCGAAGACCUUUUGCUUUGUGAAUGGACUUGGGAAAAGAGGUCACCGCUAAAUGACGAACCCUUUCAAUUGAAGUCUUCACUGUUAGACAUUCAUUUUUUGUCAUAUAUUGGGCAAAAUCAUGCACUAUAUCAUGCAUCUUGAAUCUCAUUCCUUCACGAUCACUCUUCUCAAAAUCUUGGAAGAAAGAGCGCGUUGCUAAGACUUGAAAGUACUGCUCUCCUACAAGCUCCAUAUCUCCACCUGAAGUCUCCUUGAGGUAACCUUGAGCCAUCCACAUCUUCACCAAUUCAUCUUUGUCCAUCUCGUAGUCUUUUGGAAACAUGGCACAAUACAAGAAACAUCGUCUUACCACAGAAGGUAAAUCGUAGUAACUCAAAAGCAAAGGUGGAAAUAGUCCUCUUUCAACAUGUUCUAGCUCCCACAGUUCGCUAGAUAAAACAUGUUCCCACUCUUCUCUUGUUCUUUUAGACUGCAUUAGACCUCCUAAUACCUUGGCAGCUAGAGGCAAGCCCUUGCACUUGCUUGCAAUUUUGUCGCCGAUUUCUGUCAAUCUUUCGCACUCAUCUUUGCUUCUUUUAUGGAAUGCCACCUGAUUGAAUAUUGACCUGCAUACCUCAUCAGACAAUUUCUCAAGGUUGAUCACGUGGUCAGUUCCUAUCAUGGUUGCCACAGAAUGUUUACGACUGGUCACUAGAAUUCUGCUUCCUGUUGCACCGCCUUUGAGAGAUAGUUUCAGUGGUUCCCAUUGUCUAUGAUUUUCUGUCCAGACAUCAUCUAGGACAAGAAGGAACCUCUUUCCCUUAAUUGAUUCAGAAACACUUUGCAAAAGGGAUUCCAAUUCAACUAAAUUCGGUGCACCCCCUUGAAGCGCCUCAAGGAUAGCUUUUGAUAUCCUAACCUCAUCGAAUGGAUCUGAUACACACACCCAUAUCUUUUUCUCAAAAUGAGCCGUAACCCGAGCAUCAUUAAAAGCUAGUUGGGCGAGAGUUGUCUUUCCAAUCCCGCCCAUUCCUACUAUAGAGAUCUCCACGUCCCCUGCUUCCUGAAUACUUUCGCCCAGCAACUUGCUUACUACAGCUUCCCUUUCAUCAUCUCGACCACGCACGAUUGAUUCAUCAACAAGGGAGGUACUUGUUAUUCGUUGUAGUUCAUCAGUGGCUCUGUACAACUCAAAGCCAAACAUAGCUCUCUCUUUGGUAAUCUCAUCCACUUUUUCACAUACUUCUUUGAUCUUGAGGGCAAUGUCGCGACGUCGAGCCACUUGAUUGAAACAAAAGCAAGGAGAUCCCAGGAAGGAACAUCGCAUCUUCUGUAGGCUGCGAGUAUUUUCUUCAACUUCCUCCAUUUUCCAUCUAAGAAUUGCAGUGCUCCAUUCAUCUAGCACGUCAUCCAUAUCAUAGCAUACAUCUUUGAGCUUGUCUGCCCAAUCCCUUACAGCCUUAUCCUUCACUUGUUUUCUAUCUGCAUCUUCAAGGACAGAUUGGAUAGCAAGGAGAUUGCUUUUCAGCUUGUCGACUUGUUUCUGCACACCCCCUACUAGGUUCACUUCUUCCUGUACCUAUUGGUGUAGAAAAGACCAGAAAGUUCAAGCAGAGGAAACAGUUCUAUGAUUUCACUACAAGUUUUUAAUUUUAAUUUUUGGGAAUUAAUAGAUUAAAUAAUUUUUAUUAAUCUUUUUUCCGCAUAGUUCACACGUACAGUGAAUUGGAUUGGCUAUAUUAUAAAUUCAUAUAUAAAAUAUUUAUUAAGAACCUAUAUAUUAAAAAUAAUAAUAUUUCUUUUUAUCAUCAUCAUGAUGAUAUCUCUGUCUGCACUCUGCUACUAUACAAGAAAGGAAAAAAAUGAAUCUUAAAUUGUUCGACGUCAAACCUGUAUAUAACAUAAGCUUGGCGGAUCAAAGAAAUAUAAAAGGAAUAAAAGGAAAGUGAAUAAAAGGAUCUGUAUUUGUUGUUAUUUGUAAAGUCUAUAAUAAGAUUAUGGAAGAAAAAAAAGACUUAAAUUUUUAUAUUUCUUAUCAUGUUACGGUUAAUUCGAUCAUUGCAAAUUGUAUAAAAGUAAUUACCUGUUGAGCAACGACCGUGGUUAACUGCUCCAAAAUUGGCGAUAAAAGUGCCUCUGCCAUUUGUCUUUUUGGUUUAAUUUUAUUUUUAAAAAAGAGAUAAUUAUGAUGAUGAACUGAGAGAGAGAGAGAAGAGUGUGAGGGGAAGGAGGCUGCUGGUUGUGAAAUGAAGAGAGAGGGUUAGUUUAUGUACUUGGGGUUUGGUGAUGAGGGUUGACUAUUGUUUCCAUCCCUGUACUGUUUCUAACAUUUCAAUUCAGUCCCUGUAUUAUUGAACGUUUCAGUCUAGUCUCGGUCAGGGGUUUCCAUCUGCGGAUGGCUUUUCCUGAUUGUAUGUUUCUACUGAGAAUGACAUGCCAUUUUGAGUUCCAAAGGUGAAACACUCGUGCUUUUCUAACUUUUCCUGGCUAAGGAUUAUUAUUUGUGGAAAGUAAUUUCUUCUUCGAUUUAUAGCAAUUAUUUUGGAUUGAUACUGACCUUAGGUUAAGAAUGCUGUAGUUUCUACUGAAAUGUAUCUGAUACAGACCUUAGGGACAACUGAUUAUAGCAUUCUUCUCGUCUGCUUCUCUAUUUCUUCUCUUCAUUUUAUGUUAUUCCACUAGUCUUCCAAACUGGAUCACGGUGAUAUAUAUCUGUCCAUCCAAACUAAUUUACCCAAACCAAAAGUAGUAACCAAUUAGCUCGUGUAAUGGAACUAUAAACAAGCAUCUAUCUUUCUGGGUUUUUGAGAUCAGGUGAUUUUAUCCUGUUUUCAUAGCAGGGACUGGGGUUUGAUAUUGAUCUUUGAUUUUACCCAAACCAAAAGUUUGAAAGGAUUGCUGGUUUGUGUGAUUGGAGCUCCUUUCAAUGGGUGUGAAAAGGCCAAGAAAUGAGCAAGAUUUUCUGGAGGAAAGGAUUCAUAUUGUCUGGACUCAAUCACCUUCCUUUCUUCUUCUUCUUCUUUCUGCAGGAAAAAAGUAGAGCAGAGCAACCCUUUUUGACAGAGGCUAGUAAGUUGCAGAAGUUAGUAAGAAGUGGAUCAUUGAGCAACCAAAUAGCCAAGAUGUCUUAUUUCAAACCCAAGUACAGAUGAAUGCCGUAUUUUUAUUUUUCUAAGGAACUGCAUAUUUGUCCCCCCACUUCUUCUUUUUCUGUUGAAACAGCGACAGGGUACGUGUACUCUAGAAAAUAUUUAGAAUGGAAACAAAUAGAAAGUAGCUUAAAAUUGUGAAAAUAUUGUUUUUAAAUUGUUUAUUUCAAACCUAAUUAAUAAUAUGUUUUUGUUUUAGAUAGUUUUUGUGAUUCUGAUUUGAAAAAAAAUAAGUUUUAAAAAAGUACAGCUAGCUGUGAUUAAUUGAAUUUAAAUACGUGUUUAAUAAAAAUUAUGGUUAAAGUUUAUGUAUAAUAAAAAAUAUGUAUAAAAUAUUUGAUAGUUAUGUUUGAGACUGUGGUUGUGAUUGUUUUUUAAAGUGUUUUUUACAUUAAAAUAAUAUUUUUUUAUUUUAAAAAAAUUAUUUUUGAUAUCAGUGCAUCAAAAUGAUCUGAAAACACCAAAAAAAUAUAUUAAUUUGAAAUAAAAAAAAAUUGUUUUUUACCAGUAAAUCAAAGUGUUUUUUACCUCAUUUUUCCUUGAUUAAUUCUAACUACGAAACAGCUACUGCACCAACAAGAUGGAAAAGGCUCACCAAGAUGUUCUCUUUGAAAAGAUUCUCAAUGAGUCGUUGACAUCUCAUACUUGUCUAAAAAUUUUAAUCUUUUUUUGGAAAAGAUUCUCAGUGAGUCUGUCUCCUGGCUUAUUGAUCAACACUUUUAUCAUAUUGUGAACAAACAUGUCAAUUUCCAGAAUUUUAUUGAGUAGGAUGACUGUAUAGAAUUACUCUGAUUUAUCAACACAUAUCAAAUUCUUGCUGCUGCUGAGGAAGAUAUCCUGCACUUAGCCAUCAUAGAGGGUAGCAAGGUUUUGUGUUGAUGGUAAUUACACUGACUCAUCGUCUAUCAUCUAGAAUUCAAUUUUAAAAAAUAUUGCAAGAAAUGUUUUUUUUCCUAAAUACAUCGAUCGGGUGUGGAUAGAUUGAUUACAAAGCGACUUCCUAAAAAGUCUUGGUCUUAAUAUGCAAAGAUGAUCCAAGUAUGCCAUAUAUUAUUUUUUUAAAAUAAAACCCACAUAUCUAGUCCACGCAAAGGUACUCGAAUAUGGAUUUGUAAAAAUAAAAAUGAAUAUUUAUACGAAAUUGAAUUGUGCAAAUAAAACCCACAGAUCUAGUCCAUGAUCUACGGCUCCUCCAGAGUUCCGUAGUGGUGUCUUUCUCAACUAUUCUUUAAAUAAAAUGUUUGGGAUGUGAGAAAUCUUGUGCCUAUCUUCACCCCUCUCCUCCUUCCCGUAACGUUUCCUUAGAGAAUUUAUGUAGAGGCGCUGUCAAAACAUAGGCCGGUAGUGCUCUCAACAAUGGGCAUUUGAGAAUUCUAAACUCACAAGUUGUGGCAUGAUGAAUAUUGAAGUCGUGGUGGAAUCUUCUUCUCCCACUCUCCUUUCAAUCCCAUCCCACUCUUCUAGUUCUUUGAGAUGCCAAAUGCUGAGUUUUUUCAAUUUAGGGAAAGGAGAGUGGUAGUUUUUUCAAUUGGGGCAAUACUCUUCCAAUUCUCUUUCACUAAUAUUUAUUGGUGGAAAAAAUCACUGAUAGUAGUUUUAAAACACUCAAAGAAAAUAAAACAUAUUGUUUUAUUUCAACAACAAGAAGCUUACAAUAAUUAAACAAAAGCUUUUAAUACACACCCUCUUUUUCUCUCUAGUGUUCAUCUCUUAUCUUUCCCACACACAAUUACAUAAACUUACCUAUCUAUUUAUACACAAAUUAAAAGUAAAAAAAAAAAAAUCAAACUUCAAGUGUGAAGGCGGCUGGUGGCUAAACAGUGGGGUCCUUUUGUAUUUUGUCAAAAGAGAUGAAAUUAUAAUCAAUGAUGAUGAUAUAUAUAUAUAUAUAUAUAUAUAUAUAUAUAUAUAUAUAUAAACUACUAUGUGCAUUCUAUAAUUUAGUUAUAUAAUACAAUAGAUCUUUACAAUUAGUGAUUUCAACUUACCAAUAGAGAAAUUAUAGUAGAUCUUUACUAUGAUAUAUUCAAAAUAAAUAAAUAAAACAGGUAUACUUCAACACGCAUAUUAUACAUACACUUCUUUUUUAAAAAUUAAUCAUAAAAAAUUGAUUAGUUAUUUAUUAUAAAAAUCAGACCUGUAAGUUAUAUCUAAAUCAUUGAAAAUAGUAAAGGUAAACUAAUUAGAAGAGACAAUGUAUUUCAAAUUAGUUAAUUUAUAUAGAAUUAUUUUAGUUACUAAAUUAAAAAAUUCAAAUUUUUAUAUCACUUGGAAUACAUAAGGUGGAUUUAAUCCACAAAAUCGAUGGGUGAUAACCUCUAAGAUAUCGAUGGGUACAUAUAUGGUGGAUUUAAUCCACAAAAUCAAUAAGAGACCAAUCGGCUAGCUCCAAAAUCAAACCAUCUCCACCUCAUUCAAACACGAUUUAAAAUAAUCAACACCACCUUUUUAUACAAUGUGGGAUUAAUGAGGAUAUAAAUCCAAGGCUCCAACAUCCAAAGUCUCAAUCUUAGAUUUAUUAGCUAGUAUAGCAACGCCUCAUUGGCAAGAACCCAAAUCACUAAGCUCAAAUUACUAAUAAAAAUUAUAAAUUUUCAGAUAAUAUUUUUAAUAUUUAAUCUUUCUAGCAAUUGAUGAUAGCAAUUGCAAAUGAAUAGAGGAGGAAGCAUCGAGAUCAUUGGCUUGUUUGAAGGCAAAUGGACCCUUUGAUCGUUAGAUGAUGCAUCUAAAUGAGGCUCCACAUUAUAAAAGCGUAAUUAGGUGGCACGCGCUAUCCCACAAACUCACCUUAGAUUUUCAAAAUAAAAUUAGAUGGAGGAUCCAUGUCUAUUUGGGUCCUCCCUAGACAGGACCCCAACAUAUUCGGGUCCAGUAACGACCAGGUCCAAGUCUAGCGUUGGGCUAGGUUGGGUAGGACCCAAGGUUAUUUGGGUGUACCUGGCAGAAUCCAAGAUUGUUUUUGAGUCCUGCAACUAAUAAUUAUAUGUAAUUUCUAAAUGAAACUAAAUGUAAAAUUAAAUAUAAUUUGAUAAAAUUAUUAUAAACAUUUGGUAAAAUUAGUAAAUGAUAUAACAUUUUCUUUCAAAUUCAUCAAUUAUUUAAAUAUUAAGUACAAAAAAUACUCUUAUGAAUUUUGAUAAAAAUAAUAAUAUUUAUAAUACAACUGAUAACAUUUUUAGUAUUAAAUUAUUAAUUAAUAUAAAUAAUAUUAUUUAUAACACCAAAAAUAAUAAUAUUUUUGAGAUUAAUACUAUUAAUUAGACUAAAAAAUAAUAUUAAUAAAACAAAUAAUAAUAUUUCUAAUACUAAUACUAUUAAUUAUACUAAAAAUAUAUAUUAAUAAAAAUAUAAAAUACUCUUAAUAUUAAUUAUACUAAAAAAAUAUUAAUAAAACAAAUAAAUAUUUUAAUACUAACUUGUAAUUAUACUAAAAAUAUGGGCAGCCCAAGCGCUAAGUGAUGCUUGGACUACACUCAAGAGAAAUCAUAUUAUUUUAAAAUAUUUGUCCACUAAUUGCUAUUGAAUUUAAAAUAAAUAUACUUUUAAAACUAAUAUAAAGUUACCAAUAGUCGAUUUGAUAGCUGCUUGCAUAAAAUCUCAUUGAAUUUGGCCAAUGGUUUUUUAGAAUAAAGUAAAAAAAAAGUUAUUUCAAAACAUAACCAAAGUAGUUUUAGUUAUUUGUCAGAAACUAGUAUAUCCCAUAAAAAUCAGAGUUUUGGAUGAAAUAAAAUCAAUUCUAAAAUCAAACGCCGAUUGAAGCUUCAACGCAUUUGUGAACUAGAGAAUUUAAUUAUUAAACUCGUUUGUUUCGCGUUCAAAAAUAUUUUAAAAUUAUUUUAUUUUUUAUUUAUUUUUUUGUUUUUUAAAUUAAUAAUUUUUUUAGUAUAUUUAGAUCAUUUUAAUGUGUUUAUAUAAAAAAUAAUUUAUAAAAAAUAAAAAAAAUUAUUAUUUUAAUAUAUUUCUAAUAAAAAAUACUUUGAAAAAUAAUUAUAAUAAUACUGUCACACAUGCUGUUUAAUGUUUGUUCAAAAAUUGUGCUUUUUAAAAUAUGCAUUCUAACGCAAAGAAAGCAUAUAAAACACAUCAAAGUUGCAAAAGUACGUAGUUUUAAUUAUUAGCAAAAGUAUUCUAAAAUAUGAAAAGAUAGGUUUAAAUACCCUAAAUAUCCGUAAAUAACUAGAAAAAAAUUAAUAAAACUAAAAUCCAAAAUUAUCAAGGCAAAAAUCUAAAAUAUGGUCUGAAACUUCAAAGGCAAUUUUUUUAGAGUGGCAUUUGGAGAAUUUAAGUAAGGAAAAAGCUUCACGUGAGCGAGAUAAUAUCAUCUUAGAUUAAUUCUUUAACAUGUAAAAUUUAAGUCUAAUUCAAUAAUUAAAUAAAAAAUUACCUCUUCCUGCCGGUCUUAACUAUUCUUUAAAUAUAAACAUAUGAAUUACAUAUUAUUUUAUAUAUGUUGAGAGAGAGAGAGAGAGAGAGAGAGGAUGUAUACUAUAUAUAUCACAGCUGCCUUUGAUAGAAUAAAUGGUAAGUAGGAAAUACAAUCCAAAGUCAACAUUAUACAGUAAAGAGGUAUAUGAAACAUACCUCGUCCUGCCUGUCCUACAGAUUAUGGUAAGUCGGAAAUCGAAUUACAGUAAAGAGGUCACAUAGAGUAAAUAGUAAGGCUUACAUAUUAUUUACACUCAACCUUAGCAAACACCAAAGCAAAUAAUUAAUACACUCAGAACCAAAUCUUUUACCGUUAAGAAUUAACACUGGUGGAAGAAUUUAUCAUCAAAAUAAAUGUUUGGGAUGUGAGAAAUCUUUUGCCAAUCUUCACCCAUCUCCACCUCCUUCCCGUAACGUUAGAUUGGGGCAACCAUAUGCGUAGAUCCUGUAUAGGCGCUGCCAAAACAUAGUCUGGUAGUGCUCUCAACAACGGGCACCAACGAAUUGUCAACUGUCGAAGUUGUGGCAUAAUGGAUAUUAUUGAAGUUGUGUUGGCAUCUUCUUCUCCCACUCUCCUUUGAAUUCCAUCCCACUCUUCUACUUCUUCGAGAUCCCAAAUCUCAAGUUUUUUAAUUUGGGGAAAGCAGUGACCCUUGCAAUUUCUCCUUCCUUAAUACUGGCAUUCUCAUCUUUUUCUAUACCUAAAAAUCCACCAUCCAGCCUUCUCACCUUCAAAAGUACCAGGUGUUCAAGGUUGGGCAAUCUUCCCAACGGAGGCAAGAACUCCACGUUUUCACAAUAACGGAGUGUCAGCACCUGUAAUCUGGUCAAUGUCAUCAUCCAAUUUGGCAAUUCCAACCCUCCGUAACAAUAUAUGCUUAGAUCUUCCAAGUCUGACGGAGGCUGCAAAGCUUCAAUUAAAGAGCCUUCAUGCUCUGGCAACACUGUUUUCUCUCCGAAGAAAUUCAAUACCAAACGAAACAGGCGCUUCUUAUUCUUGAGUUGUGCUUCUGCAGCGUCACUCGCAUCUUCUUUACCUCCUCCUAGAUUCCGUAUCUGAAGACUCCCUCCAAUGUGAUUUAAGUUUUUUAAUUCUCUUAGAUUAGCUGCUUUACUUUCAUUCUCACCACCACCACACACAGUAAACACAUCUAAUGUACCAACAGGUGUGUGGCUCAAGUGGUGAAGGGGGCAGCUCUCCUUUCAUCGAACCCAGGUUCGAAUCCCAGUGGGAGUGGGGCUGGAGAGUUUGCUCUCUUCCUAUUUCUCUUGGGUCCUCCCUGUGCGGUAUCCCUGUCACCCCCGCGGUGUCUUACCUGCUCACUAGGGCUUGCAGGAUGUUCAGUGGGCCGUGGGAUUAGUCGUGGUGCGCGUAAGCUGGCCCGGACACCCACGUUAUCAAAAAAAAAAAAAAAAAAAAAAAAACACAUCUAAUGUUUAGUUAUAUAAUUGAUCAUCGUGGCUACAAAAUGAAGUGGAACUAAUAAUUAAUGGAGUGGAAUACUAAAUAAAAUGAAUUGCUAUGUGUAUUCUAUAAUUUAGUUAUAUAAUAUAGGCAGAUAUGUACAAAUUAGUCAUUUCAACUUAUCAAUAAAGAAAUUAUAAUAGAUUUUCACCGUGGUAUGAUCGCAAUAAAUAAAAUAAAAUAGAUAUAUCUCACAGCAUUAAUAAUUUUUUAGUUUUUGUUAAACAAUGUCAACAUAUAUAUAUAUAUUAUACAUACACUCAUUUCUUUAAAAAUAAUUAUAAUAAAAUUAAUUAGUUAUUUAUUAUAAAAACCUGACCUAUGAGUUAUGUCUAAGCUGUUAAAAAUAGUAAAAAUAAAAUAAUUUGAAAAUAGAAUUAUUAAUUAAUUUAUAUCAAGUUGUUUUAUUUAUUAAAUUAAAAAAUCCAAGUUUUAUAUCACCUAGAUUACUUAUGUUGGAUUUAAUCCAUAAAAUUGAUGGGUAUCAUCUCUUAUAUAUGAAUCGAUGGGUAUCAAGUUACAUGCCAUCUUGCAAAUUAGAAUAAUAGACCACUCGACUGGCUCCAAAAUCAAACCAUCUCCACCUCAUUCAACACGAUUUAAAAUAAUCAACACCACCUUUUUAUACAAUGUGGGAUUGAUGAGGAUAUAAAUCUACAGACUCCAACAUCCAAAGUCUCAAUCUUAGAGUUCUUAUCUGGUAUAGUAACGCCUCAUUGGCAAUAACCCAAAUCACUAAACCCUAAAUCACUAAUAAAAAUUACAAAUUUACACCGAAUUUGAACAAAUUUCUACCAGCCGAUGUCACUAAACUCAAAUUACUCCUAAAAAUCUCAAUAUAAACCCAUUAACUACUAGACCAACAACUCAUUGGCUAGAAUCCACGUUGCUUUUCCACAACAAUCAUCAGCUUCUUCAAUUAGGAUGCUACAAGCCCUUGUCUAUAUACUAGCUUAAAUUGCAACAACCUUUGAUUCCGAGAGAAGUUUGGCCUGAUCCAACGGUAGUCAAUGCGUGCUCAAUCUGUACUAGCUUUCUGGUAGGACUGAAAGUAGUGAGAGAAAAGGAGUACUGGCUAUCACCCAUGGUUUAUUGCUUGAAGACGCAGAGAGGAAAAACUGCGAAUGCGAGCGUGUGGGAGAGAAAGGCAAGGAUAUUUACUUGGGGUUUGAACUUUGCUUUUCUUGUUGGAGAAGGAGGAGUUUUCUUACGAGGGCUUUUACAAUGGAGUAUUUUGGGCUUUUAUGACGGCAGGUUGGUUCUCUUUACAUUGAGCUCAAUGAAGGCUUUAAUUUUUUAAACUUAACUUUAUCCGGGUCAGUUCACGGGAGAAGUUUAAUUUUUUUUUUUUUAAGAAAAUAAAAUAACAUUAUUUUUAGUACUUUUUUAAAAUGAUAUUUUACCUGAGUCCACAGGCGAUGUAUAAAGUUUUUUUUAUUUAAAAUAAUAUUUUUUUUUUAUUUUAAUAUUUACUUACUAUUUGUAUACUAAAACAGUAAAACAUGUGAGAUUUUCACUUUAUAUUUGUUACUGUGCAAAAUUUUAUUUUUUAGUUUAGUCCUCAAACUUUAUUUUUGAACUAUCAAGUCCUAUUUAAAAAACAAUUGAUUUUAAAUUCUGAUAAAAAAUUUGGAUUGGAAGAGAGGAACUGAAAUGAAAAACACGAUAGAUAUGGGUAACGCACCUUAAAUUUUUAAAACAUUCUCUUUGGUCUUCCAACUUAAACAAUCACACAAAUUAUAUAAUUUUGGUACCUCAAAAUUGUUCCAAUUCCAUUUUGGUGCGAAGAUUUAUUUUUGUUAUUUUCUAGUUCCUAAUUAAGAGAGGAGAGAAAGAAAGGGGUCACUAGAUUCCAAUAAUAAAAAGAGAAACUUGUCGUUGACACCAACUUAAACCACUAAAAUAAGGGAUCUUUAUGUCAAAUUAUUAGGGGAGUUCCUAUUAGAUGUUUUUGUAACUUAAAAGUUCAUGAAAAAAAGGAUCUAAACUCGGGUUAAUUUUUUUUAUUUUAGACUGUGUUUGGUUUUUUAGGCAGUUUUUUGGAUCUAGUAUGGUUUCCCGAUCCAAGUACCUAGGGUCUGGCAUAGUUGCUAUAAAAAUAUAACUUUAAAGAAUAUAAUUAAAAACAAAUAAAGUGACGUGAUUAGUUAAAAACUAAAAAUAAUAAUAAAAAAAAAGACUUAACCUCAUUUUUUUGUUGUUCAGAAGGCUUCUUUUAAAUAAUAUUAAUUUUUUUUAUGAGUUUAAUUUUCAGAGAGGUUUUCUAGUGUAUUUAUGGUUUUGUUUGUCUUUUAUAUAAAUAAAUUAUAUUUUGAAAAUAACAAAAUAUUUAUUUUCAGAUAAUAUUUUUAAUAUGUAGUCUUCGUAGUGAUUGAUGAUGCCAAUUGUAAAUGAAUGGAGGAGGAAGCAUCAAGAUCGUUAGCUUGUUUGAAGGCAGAUAGACCUUUGAUCAUUAGAUGAUGCCUCUAAACGAGGCUCCAUAUUAUAAAGGCAUAACAAAGAGAGGAUGAGAGAAAUAAUUAUAGACCAGUUAGGUGGUUUGUGCUACAUCGCGGGCUCACCUUUAAUUUCUAAAAUAAAACUGGGUGAGUACCCAAGUCUAUUUAGGUCCUUUUCAAAUAGGAGCCAAGCAUAUUUGGGUUCUAUCGCGGCCAAGCCAGGUAGGACCUAAGGUUAUUUGGGUCAUGUACCUGGCAGGACCCAAGGUUAUUUUUGAGUCCUACAACUAAUAAUUUGUAUUUAAUUUUUAAAUAAAACUAAAUGUAAAAUUAAGUAUAAUUUGAUAAAAUUAUUAUUACAAUACAUUUGGUAAAAUUAAUAAAUGAUAUAACAUUUUCUUUCAAAUUCAUAAAUUAUUUUAUUAAUAAUAUUAAUUACAAUAAAAUAUACUCUUAUAAAUUUUAAUAAAAAUAAUAAUAUUUAUAAUACAACUGAUAAAAUUUUUAGUAUUAAUAUUAUUAAUUAAUAUAAACAUAAUAUUAUUUAUAACACCAAAAAUAAUAAUAUUUUUGAGAUUAAUACUAUAAAUUAGACUAAAAAAUAAUAGUAAUAAAACAAAUAAUAAUAUUUUUAAUACUAAUACUCUUAAUAUUAAUUAUACUAAAAAAAACUAUUAAUAAAAAAAAUAAUAUUUCUAAUACUAAUAUUUGGAAUUAUACUAAAAGUAUGUACGGGCAGCCCAAGCGUUAAGUGGCGCUUGAACUGCACUCAAGAAAAAGCAUAUUAUUUUAAAAUAUUAUUUGUCCACUAAUUGCUAAUAUAAAUACACUUUUAAAACUAAUAUAAAGUCACCCAGAGUCAAUUUGAUAGCUGCUUGCAUAAAAUCUCAUUGAAUGUGGCCAAUGUUUUUUAGAAUAAAGUGAAAUAAAAAGUUAUUUCAAAACAUAACCACAGUAGUUUUUAAUUAUUGGUCUAGAAACUUUAGUAUAUCUCAUAAAAUCCAUGAGUUUUGGAUGAAAUAAAAUCAAUUCUAAAAUCAAACUCCGAUUGAAGCUUCAACUGCAUUUGUGAGCUAGAAAAUUUAACUUAUUAAGUUAGGUUUGUUUUUGCAUUUUAAAAGCGUUUUUAAAAAUUUUAAAUUUAUUUUAUUUUUUUCUUUGCUUUAAAUUAUUUUUUUUUUGUGUUUUUAGAUCAUUUUGAUGCGCGAAUAUCAAAAAUAAUUUUUAAAAAAUAAAAAAAAUAUUAUUUUGAUAUAUUUCUAAGUAAAAAUCAUUUUAAAAAGUAAUCACAACAAUAUUUUCACACAAUCUCUUCAAAACUUGUGCUUUUUAAAACAUGCAUUCAAACGCAAAGAAAGCAUAUAAAACACAUCAAAGUUGCAAAAGUAUGUAGUUUUAAUUAUUAGCAAAAGGGUUUAAAUACCCUAAAUAUCCGUAAAUAACUAGAAAACAAUUAAUAAAAAAAUAAUAAAACUAAAAUCCAAAAUUUUCAAGGAGAAAAUCUAAAAUAUGGUCUGAAAUUUCAAAGGCAGCUUUUUUAGAGUGGCAUUUGGAGAAUUUAAGUGAGGAAUAAGCUUCACGUGAGCGAGAUAAUAUCAUCUUAGAUUAAUUUUUUUAACAUGUAAAAUUUAAGUCUAAUUCAAUAAUUAAAUAAAAAAAAUUACCUCUUCCUGCCUGUCUUAACUAUUCUUUACAUAUGAACAUAUGAAUUACAUAUUAUUUUAUGUUGAGAGAGAGAAAGAGAGAGAGAGAGAGAGAGAGAGAGGAUGUGAGAGAGAGAGAGGGGUGUAUAUAUAUAUCACAGCUGCAUUUGAUAGAAUAAAUGGUAAGCAGGAAAUACAAUCCAAAGUCAACAUUAUACAGAUAUUUGACUCACAAUAAAUCAUCCAUACUCUUAUAAAAAAUAAAGAUGGGUAAACUCUUAAUUAGGCCUUGCUGCUGAAUUUUGUUGUUGAUUUGUAAUUUAAUUAUUGUUGAAGAUUUUUUGUGUUGGCAACCCAAACUAUCAUUGUGUUGGGUUUGGAUAACUUUAUUUGGAUUUAAUCUCCAAAAUCGAUGGGUAUCAUCACUUAUAGAUGAAUGGUUUAGCUUCUCUCAUUUUUUUGGAUUUAAUCCACUGAAACUGAGGUUUAAGAAUUUCUUGGAUUUAAUCCACUGAAACAGUUGCUUGAUCAAGAUCAUUGGCUUGUUUGAAGGCAGAUAAAGGCUUAAAAAAGAAGAAGCAAAUAUCAUCUUAGUUGAAAUUUCAAAGGCAAUUUUUUAGAGUAAAGAGGAAAUAAUUAAUACACUCAAAGCAGGUUCUAAAGAGUUCUGUCUUUCUCACCAAACAUGCAAAUAAAUCUUUGGGAUGUGAGAAAUCUUUUGCCAAUCUUCACCCAUCUCCUCCUUCCUACAGCUGUAACGUUUCCUUAGAAUGGGGCAACCCCUUAUCCCCAAUGCCUGCAGAGGCGCUGCCAAAACAUAGUCUGGUAGUGCUCUCAACAAUUGGCAAUAUUCAAUUCCCAAGUACUGAAGUUGUGGCAUAAUGGAUAUUAUUGAAGUUGUGUUGGCAUCUUCUUCUCCCACUCUCCUUUCCUUCCCACUCUUCUACUUCUCCGAGACCGUCCAUCCAAAGUUUUUUUAAUUUGGGGAAAGCAGUGACCCUUGCAAUUUCUCCUUCAUUAAUACUGGCCUUCUCAUCUUUUUCUAUACCUAAAAAUCCAGCAUCCAACCUUCUCACCUUCAUUGAGCUCAAUACCAGGCUUUCAAGGUUGGGCAAUCUUCCCAACGGAGGCAAGACCUCCACGUUUUCACAAUCACGGAGUGUAAGCUUCUGUAAUCUGGUUAAUGUCAUCAUCCAAUUUGGCAAAUCCAACCCUCCGUAGCUAUACAUGGUUAGAUUUUCCAAGUCUGACGGAGGCUGUAAAACUUCAAGUAAAAUGUCGUUCUCCCGGUUGAAGUCAAAAUCCAAUUGCAAACAAAGCAGGCGCUUCUUAUUCUUGAGUUGUGCUUCUGCAGCGUCACUCGCAUCUUCUUUACCUCCUCCUAGAUUCCGUAUACGAAGACUCCCUCCAAUGUGAUUUAAGUCUUUUAAUUCUCUUAGAUUAGCUGCUUUACUUUCAUUCUCACCACCACCACACACAGUAACACAUCUAAUGUUUGAAGACAUGUUAUCCUCUCUACUCCCUUUGGUAUGAAGGCCACACCUGAAAGAACAACCCGGAGAUGCCUCAAUUUGAUAAGUUUUCCAAUCGCAUUAGGCAAUUCCUUGAGAGAAGCACACAGAGUAACGUCUAGGGAUUGCAGAUUGCAUAAAUCACACAUGGUUUCUGGCAGGGACUCCAACUGAUAACAAGAUGCCACAUUGAGGUGUCUCAAAUGUAUCAAAUUCCCUACCUCGUUUGGUAUUUCUUUGAUUGAAGACCUUGUCAAAUUCAAUGACCUGAUGCAUGUCAACUGCUUGAACAAAUCAGGCAGUGCAACUCCAAGCGAAGGGUCUCUAGUGUCCAUCAAGAGGCUGCGAAGACCUUUUGCUUUGUGAAUGGACUUGGGAAACGAGCUCUCCUCUGACAGCAUCAUGCUUAAAUGACGAACCCUUUCAAUUGAAGUCUCCACUGUUGCUUUUCCAAGUUUACUGGCAUCCACUGUUAGACAUUCAUUUUUUGUCAUAUAUUGGGAAAAAUCAUGCACUAUAUCAUGCAUCUUGAAUUUCAUUCCUUCACACCAAUCCAUCUCAAAAUCUUGGAAGAAAGAACGCGCUGCUAAGACUUGAAAGUACUGCUCUCCUACACCCGAAGUCUCCUUGAGGUAACCUUGAGCUAUCCACAUCUUCACCAAUUCAUAUUUUCCCAUCUUGUAGUCUUUUGGAAACAUGGCACAAUACAAGAAACAUCGUCUUACCACAGAAGGUAAAUCGUAGUAACUCAAAAGCAAAGGUAUAAAUAUGCGUCUUUCAACCUGAUCUCUAUCAACCUCAUCUAGCCUCCACAGUUCGCUAGAUAAAACACGUUCCCACUCUUCUCUUGUUAUUUUAGACUGCAUUAGACCGCCUAAUACCUUGGCAGCUAGAGGGAAGCCCUUGCACUUGUUUGCAAUUUUAUCUCCGAUAUCUGUCAAUCUUUCGCACUCAUCUUCGCUUCUUUCCUGGAAUGCCACAUGAUUGAAUAUUGAACUGCAUAUCUCAUCGGACAAUUUCUCAAUGUUGAUCCGGUGGUCAGUUCCCAUCAUCGUUGCCACAGCGUCCUUACGAGUGGUCACUAGAAUUCUGCUUCCUCGUGCACAGCCUGUGAGAGAUGGUUUCAGUUGUUCCCAUUGUCCAUGAUUUUCUGUCCAGACAUCAUCAAGGACAAGAAGGAACCUCUUUCCCUUAAUGGAUUCAGAAACCCUUCGCAAAAGGGAUUGCAAUCCUACCAAAUCAGAUGCCCUCCCUUCAAGCUCCUCAAGGAUACCUUUGGCUAUUCUAACCUCAUCAAAUGGUUCUGAAACACACACCCAUAUCUUUUUCUCAAAAUGAGCCGUAACCUCAGCAUCAUUAAAAGCUAGUUGGGCGAGAGUUGUUUUUCCAAUUCCGCCCAGCCCUACUACAGAGAUGACAUCCACGUCCCGUGCUUCUUGACUACUUUCAGCCAGCAACUUGCUUACAACAUUUCUCUUUUCACCAUCUCGACCAAUCACGCUUGAUUCAUCAAACAAAGGAGGUAGUUGUUAGUCGCUGGAGUUCAUCAGUGGCUUUGUACAGAUCAAAGCCAUACUUAGCUCUCUGUUUGGCAAUGUCAUCCACUUUUUCACAAACUUCUUUGAUCUUCAGGGCAAUGCCGCGACGUCGAACCACUUGAUUGAAACAAAAGCAAGGAGAUCCCAGGAAGGAACACCGUAUCUUCUGUCGGCUGUGAGUAUUUUCUUCAGCUUCCUCCAUUUUCCAUCUAAGAAUUGCAGUGCUCCAUUCAUCUAGCACGUCAUUCAUAUCAUAACAUGCAUCUUUGAGCUUGUCUACCCAAUAUCUUACAGCCUUAUCCUUAACUUGUUUUCUAUCUGCAUCUUCAAGGACAGACUGGAUAUCAAGGAGAUUGCUUUUCAGCCUGUCGACUUGUUUCUUCACACCCACUACUAGGUUCACCUCUUCUUGUACCUAUUAGUGUACAAAAGAUAAGGAAGUUCAGGCAGAGGAAACAUUUCUAUGAUUUCACUGCAAAUUUUUAAUUUUAAUUUUUUGUAAUUAAUAGAUUAAUAAUUUUUUUUAAUCUUUUUUUCGCAGUAGCUGACACGUACAGUGAAAUGGAUUUGCUAUAUUAAAAUAUAUAUUAAAAUCCUAUAUAUUAAAGAUAAUAAUAUUUCUUUUUAUCAUCAUCAUGAUGAUAUCUGCCUGCACUCUGCUACUAUACAAGAAGGAAGAAACCUAUAUAUAACAUAAGCUUGUUGGAUCAAAGAAACAUAGAGAAUGAAAGGAUCUGUAUUUGUUGGUAUUUGUAAAGUCUAUAGUUUUAAAGUGAAAAAUAUUCUUCCUUCAUAACACUCACUAAUUAUUUUAACAUUUGAUUGAUUAUUUUACAGUUUAGUGAGAGGAUCGACAACUACUACUCCUUUUUCCUUCUAAGGAUAUUUGUUUUAGAUUAUUUCCGGAAAUAUGAAAAACAAUAAAACAAUAAAAAGAAAUUUCUUUAAUAAAAUCCAAAUCUAGAUCUGAGGAUUUGAUAUUUUAUUUUAUUUUUCUAAUAAAGGAAGAAAAAGAGACUUCAUUUUUAUAUUUCUUAUUCAUGUAAGGGUUAAUUAGAUCGUUGCAAAUUUUACAGUUAAGCAGUAGUUUGCUGAUUGAAAUGACUGUAAAUGGAUCCCAAUUGGAAACUGUCAUAAUUGAACUGCGAGCUCCGUUUUAUGUUUCUUCAGAACAUCAGUUUCCAUCGUGAUGCCUUCUUCCUUCAUCAAAAAGUGGGCAAAAUCAUAGGAGUAUGUGUCGCCUCUUCAACUUUAAAGAGUCCUCCUUCUUUUCUUGAAAAUCCUGGAAAAAAAGCUAAGAUUUUGAAGUACUCCUUACCAGCCAGCUCCAUUUGAUCUGUAUGGAAACGGACAGCUCUCCAUCAAUCAGCAACGGAGGGGUAGGGAGGUGAAGAAGAGAGGGAAUAGAUGAAAUCCCUAAUAGUAGCUUGGUGUUUUUUGUUCCAAUGACCAAACCAGAUAAUGUACGAGUUGACAGGUGCAGCCAGAACAGGCCCCUAGAAAAGCAACUGAAGGUCUACUACAUCAGAUGACCCUUCAUAGUUCUUGGCCCGGUUGAAUAGGUCGUCUAGACAAACAAAACAGAGAGAGCAAGAGUACAUUGUGUAGCAUAAGCUUAUUAUGCAUUUAAGUCUUUAGACUUUUUUUAUUAUUAUUAUUAACGUAGGUGUCCAGGUCAGCUUCCGCGCACCUUGAUUAAUCUCACGGGCACAUUGUCAGAAAUUACAGCAAGAAAUUCUGUAAUUAUUGUAAGAAAGAAGGGCAUGUAAUCAAGGAAUGUCGUCUGCGACCACAAAAUCGACAAGGAUUUACUGUGCAGUCGAAAUUGGGGGCUGCUUUUAUGGCCGCCGAAGCCGUGUCCUCACCAUCGACACUGGAAUCUUCAUCGUCGGUGAGCUCUUCGUCGAGCACUCUCACUCCCGAGAUGGUGCAGUAGAUGAUAAUAUCUACCUUCUCUGCACUCGGGAUUUCUGGUAAGAAAAAUAAACUUAACUUUCCCUUAGAUUCAGCACAUAAUAAACAAUGGUUAAUGGAUUUGGCAUCGUCUAAUCACAUGACCAACAGUGAAAAUGGGUUGUGUAAUGUGCUAAAAUACAUGGGUAAUUAGCAUAUACAGGUAGCAAAUGGUGAUAAUCUGCCAAUUUUGUCGAUUGGUAAUUUGGGGUCUUACUUCAAUAAUAUUUUUGUGUCACCAAAAUUAUCAACAAGUUUACUCUCUGUUGGUCAAAUGGUAGAAAAUAACUGUGAAAUUCACUUUGAUCAUCAUGGUUGUUGUGUGCAGGAUCAAGUGUCGGGGGAAGGUAAUCGCGAAGGGGCCUAAAGUGGGACGUUUAUUUCCAAUACAAUUUUCUAUUCCUAGUAUUAAUUCUUGUGCUUAUUCUACUCUCAUUCAUAAUCCUCAUUUUUGGCAUAAGAAAUUAGGGCAUUCUAAUUCUAAUGUAUUGACUUAUCUUAUGAAACAUGGAUAUUUGGGGAAUAUAAACUCUUUUUCAACAGAAUUUUUGGAUUGUAGUUCUUGCAAAUUGGGUAAAAGCAAAGCAUUAUCAUUCCCUUCACAUGGUAGUUGUGCUUCUAAAUGUUUUGAAAUUAUUCAUACUGAUGUAUGGGGCAUAAGCCCUGUUAUCUCUCAUGCUAAGUAUAAAUAUUUUGUCACGUUUGUUGCUACCUAAUUUUUGAUAAAUUUUCAGAAAAAUCAAAAAUAGCAAAAAAAACAAAGAAAAACCCAAAAAUAUAUUUUUGAUGUAUUUGCAUCGUUUUUAGCAUUUUCAAUGCCAUCUCAAAAGAAUUUAAAUUUUUAAAGGAAUUUUGGAACGCGUUCAACUUUUAACGCGUAAAAUUUUAUGAUCACUGAUUUUUAUUUUUGAGUUGACGGUGAUAUUGCUCGCUUUCGAAAACACAAAAAAAGAGAGAAAAUCAAAAUUUAAGAAAAAAAAGAGGAAAAGUUGAGGGACCAUUGUGAUUUUGGCCAUGCCACAUUUCUCCUAUAAAUACUAAGCUACAGUAAUGAACCAAGGGGCGAAAAAUAGACACAGGGAGAAAAAUGGUUUCACGGGGGAGAAAUUUACAUGGGGGGAAAGGCAAGUAGAAAAAAACCCUAAAGCCAAAAAAAAAAACCUAGAAACUAAAAAAACCCUUUCUUCCCCGGCAGCCGCCCUUGGCCUUUGAAAAAAACCUAGAACUAAUGAUUUUCUUCCUUAGCCACAACGCUGACCUCUCUUUUUGAAAAAGGGAGGAACAGACCGCCGCUGCAGAGUCUUUGAAAGGAAAAAGUCACCUGGCUAGGCGUUUCAAACAGCCCCGCCUCUCCUCUCUCCUUUUCUUCUCCCGAAACUAGCCAAAACUGACCCUCUCACUCUCAGCACAAAGCAGCCGCCCCCUUUACCCCCAUCUUCUUCUCCCUCAACCGACAGAUCUCACCCUCCAAUAGCAACCCCUCUUGCACGAAAAAACCCAGAGAAACCGUCCCUAAGCUCUCCAUUUUCCCUGCAGGAGGAGAGAAACCCACCGGACACAAGCCUUCUCCAGGUCUCCCCCGGAGCCGCCGCCCCCCAUCGUCUUGGAUUUGUUUCUCUCCCGAGACCAGCCGGCCACUCAUUUUUUCCCUUGGCUUGCUAAACAAAGCGGAGAAACUGGAGAGCAUCAGACUGACCUCUCUCUCCCUCGGCCGACCACCAUCAACCGGUCAACAGCAGCAUCUUCCCUUCUCCUGCAGCUCGUUACAGAGACAAUGAGAAGGGAGGCCAGAGGAUAGUGAAGAAGGGGCAGAAAACCGAAGCUUGGAUGGGCGCCGAUCUCGCAACCAUGGCAGCGGUGGACAACACCACCGUUGCAGAAACGAAAUGGGAGGAAGGGAAGUUGCUGAUCCAGCCAUCCACACGCCUGGUCUGUGGGCGGCGCGUGUAACGCCCAGCUUCAGAUUCGGCAGAUUUGAAGAAAAGAGAGGAGAAGCAGAUCCGAAAACAGUGAUUGAAAAAUAACUAAAAUCAGCUGGCUUUUUGUGCUUUGAUUUUUCUUUGCAGGUCACCACCGGUGGAAGAGGGGAUGAGGCCGUUGAAGACCCCCUGUGUUGUGUGGAUUUUUGCGGCGGCGCGUGGAUGCACGCGCCGCUACUGUUCAGGCAGCUCCAAAAAUUGUUUUCCUGAAUUUUUGGGACUAUUCUGUAAUUUUCAAUUAUGUGAUGUAAUUUUUGUUUAGUUUUGAAUUUUUUAUUUGUAUGUUGUGAAUUUGAAUGUAACAAAAAAAACAAAAAAAAAAGAAAGAAGAGAAAGGAAAAGAAAAAUAAAUAAUAUAAAGAAAGUUGUGUGUGUGUUUGUUUUUUUAUUUAUGUUAUUGAAUUAUAAAAAUAAAAAAAGGACAAAAAGAAUUAUUUGUUUAAUUUGAAUAUGGUUAAAUAUUUAAGGACAAAUAAAAUUAUGUUAUAUUUUCUAUGAAAGUGUAAGAACAUGUUUUUACACGUAUUCAGGGAUUUAAUAAUUGAUUUAUUAAAGUCUUAGAAUUUGAUUAAUAUUUUAAAUUUUCAAAUCAUAUCAAACCACGAAGCAGCUUAGCUCAGGUAGGGUGCUGUAGGGGUACUAAUACCUUUUCUAGCCACAAUCAGUCCCUUACCCUAGAAUCUCUGACCACGACCAGUAAAUCAUGGUUUUCUAGUAACCCUCUAUUAAAUACUAGGUGGCGACUCUCAAAGAACCAAUCAAGCAAAGACAACGAAAAAUUGCCAAAUCACCGCGUGGGGGACGUGCGACAAUGUUUAUUGAUGAUUUCAGUCGUUUCACUUGGAUAUAUUUUCUUCGAUCUAAGACUGAUUUAUUCUUAACAUUUCAGGCUUUCGUUGUAUUUAUUGAAAAUCAAUUUUCUACUCAUAUUAAAAUACUUUGUUCUGACUCCGGGGGGGAAUAUGUGUCCAAAGAACUUCAGGAAUAUCUCAAAAACAAAGGGAUUCUCUCUCAAAGAUCUUGUCCUUACAUUCCUUAACAAAAUGGAGUUGCUGAGCGUAAGAAUCCUCAUCUUUUAGAUGUUCGCACCUUAUUAAUUGAUUCUUUGGUACCUACUCGAUUUUGGGUAGAAGCACUGUCCACAGUCGUUCAUCUAAUUAAUUGUUUGCCUUCACAAGUACUAAACUUUGCAUCUCCAUACUCUAUUUUAUUUGGUGUUAUUCCUAAGUAUGAUUCUCUCCGUGUUUUUGGGUGUGUUUGUUUUGUUCACUUACCAUCUACUGAACGUAAUAAACUUUUAGCCCAAGCUGCUCGUUGUGCUUUUCUAGGAUACAAUAAUUUUCAUAAAGGAUUUGUGUGUUAUGAUGCAAAUGCUCAUAAAAUUCAUCUCUUGAAAUGUAAUUUUUUUUUUAAAUCAGAAUUUUUUCCCUUCUUAUCCCUCUACAAAAUCCACUCCUAUCCAACUUCCCACAUUUGAUGAUCAUAGUCCAUCUUAUAUCUUUGAAUGUUUUAAGCCAGGAAUUGUAUAUCAAAGACGUCAUCCACCAUCCAUUUUGCCCCUUCCGGACACGAAACCGGCAUCUGAUCAUUCCCCUCAACUAAGACGAUCAACUCGAGUUUCACGUGCCCCAAACAGGUAUGGAUACUAUCAGCAACUACUAUUGAUAGUACUUUUGUGCCUAAGACUUAUGCCCAGGCUUCUACCCAAGACUGUUGGCAACAGGCCAUGAAAGAGGAACUUCAGGCUCUUCAGGAUAAUCACACAUGAGAUAUUGUUUCUUGUCCUACCGGAAUUAAACCUAUUGGCUGCAAAUGGCUAUACGAAAUUAAAGCACGGUUGGUGGCUCUUGGAAAUUGUCAGGCAUAUGGUAUUAAUUAUGAGGAGACAUUUGCACCUGUGGCUAAAAUGACUACCAUACGAACCAUUAUGACAAUUGUUGCUUCCAAAAGAUGGCCACUUCAUCAAAUGGAUGUAAAAAAUGCAUUUUUACAUAGAGACUUGAAAGAGAAUAUUUAUAUGACUCCUCCUUCUGGUAUGUUUACUCACUCAUCCGAUAAAGUCUGCUGGUUGAAACGGUCCCUGUAUGGUCUAAAACAGGCACCCCGGGCAUGGUUUGAAAAAUUUCGCACUACUCUUUAGAAACUUAAAUUUAUUCAGAGCCAAUAUGAUUCCUCUAUGUUUCUUCAGCAAACUACUACUGGUAUUGUUGCUCUUCUGGUAUAUGUUGAUGAUAUUAUCAUUACAGGAUCCGACAUUCCACUCAUUGAGGAUUUACAACAUUCUCUUAACAGUGAAUUUCAUAUGAAGGAUCUGGAACACCUUCACUAUUUCCUUGGUCUACCGGUGCACUCUAUGUCCAGUAGGAUUUCUCUACAUCAGCACAAAUACACCCAAGAGAUUCUUCUUUUGGGCGUUCUUGAAUCAGGGAAUAUCGUUCUUACACCUCUCGAGAUUAAUUUAAAACUUUGUCAUAAUGAUGGUGACCUGUUACCUGAUCCCUCCAUAUACAAGCAGUUGGUGGGCAGUUUGAAUUAUCUAACCAUUACUCGGCCAAAUAUUUCUUUUGUAGUACAACAAGUCAGUCAAUUUUUACAGGCUCCUCGUCAACCUCAUUUAGCUGUUGUCCGAAGAAUUCUUCGCUAUCUUAAAGUCACAUCUGGGCGAGGAUAAUUUUUUCCUGCUGAUAAUUCAUUACAAUUAACAAGUUAUAGUGAUGCAGAUUGGGCAGGGUGCGUGGAUACACGUCGGUCUGUUACUGGGUGGUGUAAGUUUCUUGGAAAUGCUUUGAUUUCAUGGAAAAGCAAAAAGCAAGACCGAAUCUCAAAAUCUUCCAUAGAAUCUGAGUAUCGAGCUAUGUCCUCCGCAUGUUCUGAAAUUGUGUGGCUUCAGGGUUUGCUACGUGAACUUGGUUUUCCUCAGCACACUCCUACACCUCUUCAUGCUGAUAACACAAGUGCUAUUUAGAUUGCUACUAAUCAUGUGUUUCAUGAACGCACCAAACAUAUUGAAGUUGAUUGUCACUACAUUCGUGAAGCUUUUGAUCAUAAUAUUCUUACACUACCUUAUAUUUCCACCGAGCAUCAGACAACUGAUGUCUUUACGAAGGCCUUGUCUCGGCCUCGACAUCAACUCAUGAUAGACAAAUUGAUGCUUCUUGAUCGGCUAGCAUCAAUUUGAGAGGGGAUGUCAUUGUAUAUUAUGGCAAGAAUAUCAAUACUAUAUGGCAACCAAAUUGUAACAGAAUAUCUUGUAUUUAUUAUAGACUACAAAUCAGGGAUUAGAGACAGUAAAUUAGUGAUUAUUACAUGUAUUUAGAGGAUUGAAUUCCUCCUUCUGAAGUCAUUAAUUGAGAGAACAAUUUUACAUUGAAAUUUGAUAUUUGUGACAUGUGACUUGGUGAGAUUCUUCAUUUAUUAUUAUUUCCUUGUGGUGGACACAAUGGUUUACGUAGAUGAACUGAAUUCUUGCAUGACAACAACAAAAUAAGUGUGAUUCAGCACUGUCAAGAAAAAGGUAGAGCAGAGCAACCCUUUUUGACGGAGGCUAAUAAGUUGCAAAAGUUAGUAAGAAGUGGCUCAUUGAGCAACCAAUUAGCCAAGAUGUCUUAUUUCAAACCCUCGUACAGAGGAAUGCCGUAUUUUUAUUUUUCUAAGGAACUGCAUUUUUGUCCCCCUCUUCUCCUUCUUUUUUCCUGUUGAAACAGCAACAGGGUACAUCUACUCCAUGUCAAAGUCUAGUCUAUAACCAGACCAGUAAAGAACAUUGACUUACAAGGAGUUCCAUUGAAGUUUCGAUUAUGAGCAGGCAUGCUUCUAUCCCAAUUUACCACUCUGGGUCAGAUUUCACACUUAUCAGAGCACUGUGAUGACAACAGCAGAAACUAUCUAAUUUCCCACCAAACAUAAAGAGAGCUUUGAAUCUACACACCCGCCAGUUAUAAUCAUUCAAGACAGAUAUGUUAGCUAUAGUUAAGGCCAGAGAGAAACACAAGCUAAAAAAAAAUGCACCUUCUAAUUACCGAGAAGCAUGCAGAAAAAAACCUGUAGACAACUCCAAUAUUGGGUGUCAGAUUCUGUAUUUUCUGAACCUGAAACAACAAGCAAUUAAAUACCAUCAACAACCAACUCAAGUUCUAUACUAUCUUGCAAGUUAUAUACCAUCAAUGAAAUAGUUUUUAUUUAAAGGGAUUAAAAUGACAUCUUUUUACCAAAAUUGUUUUUUCCAAAAAACAUUCAAUAAUAUUUAACCAAGUUUUACCCGAGUCCAUAUAAUUUGAAAGUAAUAAAUCAUAUCAAAUUUCUUUAAAUUAUUAAAUUGGAUCCUUAAUUUUCAAUUCGUCAAAUUAUUAAAUUGGAUCUUCAAUCUCUUUUAUAGGGGGUUUGGUGUCACUGCUUAACUUAAUUAUGAUACUAUAUAUAGUGACCAUUUGUGAUAAUUCUGUUGCAGAUUAAAAAUAUUUAGCGACAUUAAAAGUGUCGUUAAAUAUAUUUUGAAGAGCCAUUACAUGUUGUUUUUUGUUUUUUGUAGUGCAACGAUAGUAAAACAUUAUGUUAAUUUUAGCAACACACCGUGACCAAAUCCAAUGAAGAAACCUAAUAAUCAAAGAAAAUUAGAAAUUUUAAAAUUGAUAUUGGAUUUUUAAAGAUUCAGAUAUUAGGUUAACAUCACAUUUACUAUAACCUUUUAAAUAAAAAAUUAUCAUUGUUUAUGUUUUUCUAAAUUAUUUUAUGCUAUUAUAUUUUUAUUUAUAAUUUAUUUAAGAAUAGACACCGGUUUCUUAGAAUAAAAAACUUGUAAAUUUUUUUGUCAUCCCUAAAAACCAAAGAGUCCAUAGCUUGUCAUUUUAUGACACUAGCCUUGCUAUGUAUAUAUAAUCUCCACGGUUAUAAAAACCAAUAUCUAAAUAGAAGAUUUCAUUAAUUUUUUUACAUUAAUCCCUGAAGACAGUAGAUUUUGUAAUUUCUUGAAUUUUAAUAAAAACUUUGAUGUUAAUCCCUUAAGAUAGAAGAUUUCAUCACUUUUUAAGAUUUAAUGAAAAUUUUGAUGAUAUUCACUAAAAUAGAAGAUUUCAUCAUUUUUUUAAUUUAUAACAAAAUUUUGACGUUAUCUCUAAAAAGUUUUUGUUGUAUAGUAAAAUGGUUUUUAUACAGUAAAAUCCAGUUCCCAUACAGUAGUGUAUAACCUUUUCGGUUUUUAGUAUGGUUUGUUUCUUUGGCUGCUUUUCCAAGAUAAAGUCUUCAUCCGUGAUUUCUUGUUUCAGCAUGAUUUCUUUUCUCUUCAGCAAGCUAGAUGUAUGUUUUGUAAAAGAAGAUUUGAAACUUCAAGCCAUCUCUUCAUUCAUUGUGUUUUUGCCUGGAAGUUAUGAAUGAAAUUCCUAUUUUGGUGGGGGAAUUAGUGAUUCUUUCCCAAAUUCUAUUGAUGAUAUAAUCUACAAAUGAUGCAAGGAAAAUUUCAGAAUCUUUCAUGAUGACAACUUCUCUUUUCUUGUAUUGCAUGGAGUCUAUGGCUACAUUGAAAUGAUGUAAUCUUCAAUGAUGCUAUUCCAGAUCUUAAGGGUUGUUUUUACUUUAUCGAUCCUCCACAGGUUCUCCUUAUGGUUGAAGUUUGAUAGCACAACUUUUGCUUACACCGGUUUGGAUUUAGGGAUCAACUCUGAUGGGAUCUUUUUCGGGGAUAACAGAAGUUGACUUCUUGUUUUUAUCUAUUGUCUGGUCCCUGUUUUCUUCUUCCUGUUAUAGAGUAGAUACCGUGAUUUAGGGAUCAACUAAGGUUCACUGUUGGUUUCUAUGCAAGGCAAGAUUGAGAGUUAUGUGAAUAUAUGAGUUGGAAGGUUAGAGUAAAUGCUGGAUGGUAUUUUUUAUUUUUCCCUCUCAUUGGCGCUGCUCACCAAUAGCUCGGGUGCAUUUGAUGCUGAUGGAGAUGGAACCGAAGCUUAUAUAUUCAGCCACUUCACAUGCUUUUUUUCUUUUAACAGUCGAGUGUAUUAUAAGAAAAUGGCUAAAAAGAUAAUAGCCUAGCAUCCAGAAGUUCUAGCUGACCACAAAAAAAAAAAAAAAAAGCAAACAAGCUUUAGAGGUUUUGAAACAGGGGAAGGAAAACAGUGUGGGAAAAGGAAAAAAACAAUUGAAAUCAGCUCCUCCUUUUUACAAAACCAAUGCCAUCAUAGCUGUUAUGAACAUCCUCGCCAGCAGAGUCUGGAGAAUUGGUAUCAAGUCUCAGCCAUAAUGAGAAACUGCCGAAGAUCAAGGAAAAACAGCUUUGAAGGUUUGGAGCAGCCCUAUUAAAGAUGAUAUCUCCAUAGAAAACCAUUAGUAGUACAUAUCAUCAAUCGAUUUUGUGAAAACAUUGAUAAUACCCCACCGUGAAGGAAUUUCAUUCAUAGAUGCCAAGCAAAGUGGCAGUGGAUGAAGAGGUGACUUGAAGAUUCCAGGUUUUUAUUACAAAAAACACAUCUAGAAGCCACUUCAGAUGCUCAUGAUGAUAUUACAUGUUUCUUCUCUCUGAAUUCAUACAAUCUUUCUUUCAUACACUUCCAUAUUUUUCAGAAAAGAUUGAGGAUGAAGAUACACCAAAUUUAGAUUGCAUCAGAGGUUGCAGUCACUAUCUUUACACGGGGUUGGCUUUUUUUACUUGCUAAAGAUGGCUAACUGUAAUUAGAAUGUUUCUUCUUUUCAAAGUAAUAAAUCUCUGAGUCCUUACAUCUCUAGUUAAUUAUAACUACCUUACCGGUCAUAAUGCUCUUUUCUAUACCUGAUGAAUGAUAUUAUUUCUGAGAUUUUUGAACAUGUAAUGACGGAAGCCUGCGGUGGAUUGGUUCCCUUUGUUACGUUACUGGAGUCGCAAUGUUUCGAGGUAUCUGACCAAAUUAAUUCUCUUGCUUUUUGCAGCAAAUCUGUAUCUCUUGCUACUUGCUAGAGGCGUACUCCCAGGCUACCACUGUUUUGGUGUUGCCUCUCUUACCAUUGUUAUUAGGUUGAAUUAAUUAAAUACCAGAAGAUUUCUGGAUGUGUAAUGACUGUAUGAUUAAACUUACCAGUGCACUGUCAAGGCUGUGGCGCAUGAACUUCAUUCGCGGGCGUGCGUCACCACUGUUCCACCGUGUGCCGUCGCAGCCUUCACCAAUUCCAGUAGCUCCAGUUUUUUUCUCCAUUGCCUCCAUUGAAGGUCCAAUUUUCGAGCUCACAAAACAUGACAUCUUGAGUUUAUUUUUCACGAAUUAUGUUUGUGUUUUGACAAAUCCAACAAUUAUGAUUUGAUUUAGUUGUUUCUAGUUAUGGGACACAAUGUUGUGUUUUUUUAUUAAAAAAAAGAAGAAAAGAAAACAGAGAGAAUGCUAAAAAGAAAGUCACAGCUGCAUGUGAUAGAAUACAUGUAAGUAGGAAAUAAAAUCCAACUCAAGAAUAGAUUACAAAUGAGUUCAAUCCAUUUACAGAAAAAGGGUAUAUAGAAUAUAUUUGUCUGAAGAAUCCCCUGUCUGGAAGUUCUUUGAAUGGGGCUGUGAUGGCAUUUAGAAAGCACAAGCACUAGGGGUCUUGUCUUUCACUAGCAGAAACAUAUUUAUUGUUGAAGAUUUUUUGUGUUAGGUUUAGAUAACUUUAUUUGGAUUUAAUCCACUAAAUUGGUGGGUAUCAUCUCUUAUAGAUGAUACUUUAGCUUCCAAGUCUACCAUUCUCUCAUUUAUUUGGAUGUGUUUUGUAGGGUAGAUAUGGUUGUUUUUCAAAAUGUUUUUUAAUUGAAAAUGCUUUAAAAUAAUUUUUUAAAUAUCAGUUUUUACAUCAACAAUAUAUCAAAAUGAUCUAAAAAUAUUUAUAAAAAAUUAAUUUAAAAUAAAUAAAUAAAAUUUAAAUUUAAAAAAAAAACAAAACACUUACACAAAAACAAAUAGAAUCUUGCUGUGAAUAACAGAAUUUGGUGCUAAAUUUCUUGUUGUGAAUUGCAGAAAACAGUUGCUUGAUCUGCACUAGGAUGGCAAUAGCAAGGUAAUGGAGGAUGUGAGAAAGGUAUAUCCAAGUCGUGCUUCUUUUUUGUAUCUUUCUCCUCAUCCACUAACUCUUGCUUCUUUUUUUCCCGUGAAAAAAUGGAGAGCCGAAAAUAGAUUUGUUAAAAAAUGGAGUUCCUGCAGAUUCCAAUUAAAGAGUUCUGUCUUUCUCCUGUAAUCAUCAAAACAAAUGUUAGGGAUGUGAGAAAUCUUUUGCCAAUCUUCACCCAUCUCCUCCUCCCCGUAACGUUUCUUAAUGGGGCAUCUACUUAUGUCCAGUUCCUGUAGAGGCGCUGCCAAAACAUAGUCUGGUAGUGCUCUCAACAACGGGCAAUUUCAAUAUCAAUCUCGAAGUUGUGGCAUAAUGGAUAUAUUGAAGUUGUGUUGGCAUCUUCUUCUCCCACUCUCCUUCCAAUUCCAUCCCACUCUUCUACUUCUUCGAGAUCCAAAUCAAGUUUUUAAUUUGGGGAAAGCAGUGACCCUUGCAAUUUCUCCUUCAUUAAUACUGGCAUUCUCAUCUUUUUCUAUACCUAAAAAUCCAGCAUCCAACCUUCUCACCUUCAACGACCUCAAACCAGGCUUUCAAGGUUGGGCAAUCUCCCAACGGAGGCAAGACCUCCAGUUCACAAUAACAGAGUUUAAGCUCCUGUAAUCUGGUUAAUGUCAUCAUCCAAUUUGGCAAAUCCAACCCUCCGUACCUAGAUAUGGUUAGAUUUCCAAGUCUGACGGAGGCGUAAAGCUUCAAUUAAAAGCCGUUCUUGCCGGCUCUGUGUCGAAACCAAUAGCAAACAAGCAGGCGCUUCUUAUUCUUGAGUUGUGCUUCUGCAGCGUCACUCGCAUCUUCUACCUCCCCGUAGAUUCCAUAUCUUAAGACUCCCUCCAAUGUGAUUUAAGUUUUUUAAUUCUCUUAGAUUAGCUGCUUUACUUUCAUUCUCACCACCACCACACACAGUAAACACAUCUAAUGUUCGAAGACAUGUUAUCCUCUCUAUUCCCUUUGGUAUGAAGGCCACUCCUGAACCAUAAAUCCGGAGAUGCCUCAAUUUGAUAAGUUUUCCAAUCGCCUUGGCAAUUCCUUGAGAACCACACCAAGUAACGUCUAGGGAUUGCAGAUUGCAUAAAUCACACAUGGUUUCUGGCAGGGACUCCAACUUAACAAAUGCCAAAUUGAGGUGUCUCAAAUGUAUCAAUUUCCCUACCUCGUUUGGUAUUUCUUUGAUUGAAGACCUUGACAAAUUCAAUGACCUGAUGCAUGUCAACUGCUUGAACAAAUCAGGCAGUGCAGCUCCAAGCGAAGGGUCUCUAGUGUCGAUCAAGAGGCUGCGAAGACCUUUUGCUUUGUGAAUGGACACGGGAAAAGAGGUCUCUUGACAGCAUCAUGCUUAAAUGACGAACCCUUUCAAUUGAAGUCUCCAUUGUUGCUCCUGAAGGUUAUUGACAUCCACUGUUAGACAUUCAUUUUUUGUCAUAUAUUGGGCAAAAUCAUGCACUAUAUCAUGCAUCUUGAAUCUAAUAUCUUCUGAUCAUACGUCUUAAAUCUUGGAAGAAAGAGCGCGCUGCUAAGACUUGAAAGUACUGCUCUCCAACAAGCUCCAUAUCUCCACCUGAAGUCUCCUUGAGGUAACCUUGAGCUAUCCACAUCUUCACCAAUUCUAUUUCCCAUCUCGUAGUCUUUUGGAAACAUGGCACAAUACAAGAAACAUCGUCUUACCACAGAAGGUAAAUCGUAGUAACUCAAAAGCAAAGGUAGAAAUAUUCCUCUUUCAACCUGAUCUCUAUCAACCUCAUCUAGCCCCACAAUUCGCUAGAUAAAACACGCUCCCACUCUUCUCUUGUUCUUUUAGACUGCAUUAGACCUCCUAAUACCUUGGCAGCUAGAGGCAAGCCCUUGCACUUGCUUGCAAUUUUUCGCCGAUAUCUGUCAAUCUUUCGCGCUCAUCUUUGCUUCUUUCCUGGAAUGCCACAUGAUUGAAUAUUGACCUGCAUAUCUCAUCGGACAAUUUCUCAAUGUUGAUCCGGUGGUCAGUUCCCAUCAUCGUUGCCACAGAAUGUUUACGAGUGGUCACUAGAAUUCUGCUUCCUGGUGCACGCCUGUGAGAGAUGGUUUCAGUUGUUCCCAUUGUCCAUGAUUUUCUGUCCAUACAUCAUCAAGGACAAGAAGGAACCUCUUUCCCUUAAUGGAUUCAGAAACCCUUUGCAAAAGGGAUUGCAAUUCAACCAAAUCGUGCCUCCCUUCAAGCUGCUCAAGGAUAGCUUUGGCUAUUCUAACCUCAUCAAAUGGAUCUGAACACACACCCAUAUCUUUUUCUCAAAAUGAGCCGUAACCUCAGCAUCAUUAAAAGCUAGUUGGGCGAGAGUUGUUUUUCCAAUUCCGCCCAGCCCUACUAGAGAGAUGACAUCCACGUCCCGUGCUUCCUGACUACUUUCCCAGCAACUUGCUUACUACAGCUUCCCUUUCAUCAUCUCGACCAUCACGAUUGAUUCAUCAACAAGGGAGGUACUUGUUAUUCGUUGGAGUUCAUCAGUGGCUCUGUACAACUCAAAGCCAUACAUAGCUCUCUCUUUGGCAAUCUCAUCCACUUUUUCACAUACUUCUUUGAUCUUGAGGGCAAUGUCGCGACGUCGACCACUUGAUUGAAACAAAAGCAAGGAGAUCCCAGGAAGGAACAUCCAUCUUCUGUAGGCUGUGAGUAUUUUCUUCAGCAUCCCCCAUUUUCCAUCUAAGAAUUGCAGAGCUCCAUUCAUCUAGCACGUCAUCCAUAUCAUAACAUACAUCUUUGAGCUUGUCUACCCAAUCUCUUACUGCCUCAUCCUUCACUUGUUUUCUAUCUGCAUCUUCAAGGACAGAGUGAAUAGCAAGGAGAUUGCUUUUCAGCUUGUCGACUUGUUUCUUCACACCCACUACUAGGUUCACCUCUUCUUGUACCUAUUAGUGUAGAAAAGAUAAGGAAGUUCAAGUAGAGGAAACAUUUCUAUGAUUUCACUGCAAAUUUUUAAUUUUAAUGUUUUGUAAUUAAUAGAUUAGCAGUAGUUGACACGUACUGUGAAAUGGAUUGGCUAUAUUAAUAAUUUAUAUAUAAAAUAUUUAUUAAAAACCUAUAUAUUAAAGAUAAUAAUAUUUCUUUUUAUCAUCAUCAUGAUGAUAUCUGUCUGCAGUCUGCUACUAACAAGAUGGAAGAUAAUGAAUCAUAAAAUUGUUCGACGUCAAACCUAUAAAUAACAUAAGCUUGCUGGAUCAAAGAAAUAUAGAGUAUAAAAGGAUCUGUAUUUGUUGGUAUUUGUAAAGUCUAUAGUUUUAAAGUGAAAAUAUUCUUCCUUUAUAACACUCACUAAUUAUUUUAACAUUUGAUUGAUUAUUUUACAGUUUAAUGAGAGGAUCGACAACUCCCUUUUCCUUCUAAGAAUAUUUGUUUUAGAUUAUUUCCGGAAAUAUGAAAAAUAAUAAUAUAAUAAAGAGAAAUUUCUUUAAUAAAAUACAAAUCUAGAUCUGAGGAUUUGAUAUUUUAUUUUAUUUUUCUUAUAAAGGAAGAAAAAAGACUUCAUUUUUAUAUUUCUUAUUCAUGUUAGGGCUAAUCAGAUCAUUGCAAAUUGUACGAAGUAAUUACCUCUUGAGCAACAAUCCUCGUUAACUGCUCCAAAAUUGGCGAUAAAAGUGCCGCUGCCAUCUGUCUGUUUAAUUUAAUUUAAUUUAAUUAUUUUUGAAAAAGAGACAAUGAUGAUAGGAUGAACUAAGAAAGAGAGAGAAGAGAGUCUGAGUGGAAGGAGGCUGCUGGUUUAUUAGUUAGUUUAUGUACUUAGGGUUUGGUGUGGAGGGUUGAGUUUUGUUUCAGUCCCUGUACUGUUUCUAACACUUCGAUUCAGUCCCUAUAUUAUUGUAGCUUUUCAGUCUAGUCCUGGUUGUAUGUUUCUACUGAGAAUGACAUGCCAUUUUGAGUUCCAAAGGUGAAAUACUCGUGCUUUUCUAACUUUUCCUGGCUAAGGAUUAUUAUUUGUGGAAAGUAAUUUCUUCUUCGAUAUAUAGCAGUUAUUUUGGAUUGAUACUGACCUUAGGUUAAGAAUGCUGAAGUUUCUAUUGAUUAUAGCAAUCUACUGAAAUCCCUGCUUCUCGUCUGCUUCUCUAUUUCUUCUCUUCAUUUUAUGUUAUUCCACUAAUCUUCCAAACUGGAUCAUGGUAAUAUAUAUCUGUCCAUCCAAACUAAUUUACACAAACCAAAAGUAGUAACCAAUUAGUUCUUGUGUAAUGGAAAUACAAACAAGCAUCUAUCUAUCUGGGUUUUUGAGAUCUGGUGAUUUUAUCCUGUUUUCAUAGCAGGGACUGGGGUUUGAUAUUGAUCUUUGAUUUUUGGGUCCGAAAAUGGAUGGUCCAGAUUUGUUGAGGUUGUAUGAUUGGAUUUGUUGAUGGUGCUUGAGAUGAUGCUGUAAAGUAUUUUCUUAUAUAUUUUCUGAUUUUCUGGAGGAAAGGAAAGGACUACAUCACCUUCCUAUCGAUUUUUCUAUCUGCAUCCAUAUACAUUUUGCAAUUAAGUCAUUAUGCUUUAAACUCAUUCCAUGUGCCUUCCCUUACAAGAAAAAAAAGAAAAAGAAAAAACAAGCCCAGGGUACUCAGCUUGGGCUUGGGUUCCCUCAUUAUGACUUGGUGAAUUGGGCAAUCUAAAUACUUUUGGGCUCUGUUUUAAUGGGUUCCAAGGGGAAGAAAACACAACGAUUCUUGAACAAGGAUUUGUGUCCCGUGCGCACUUGAACGAUGGGGGUCUGUUUGCAUUUUGUCAAAAGAGAUGAAAUUCUAAUCAAUGAUGAUGAUGAAAAAAAUAAAUAUAUAAAUUACUAUGUGCAUUCUAUAAUUUAGUUAUAUAAUAUAGUAGAUCUUUACAAAUUAGUAAUUUCAACUUACCAGUAGAAAAAUUAUAGUAGAUCUUUACCAUGAUAUUAUCGAAAUAAAUAAAUAAAUAAAAAUAGAUACACUUCAACACGUCCAUACACUCUUUACCAUGAUAUUAUGUAAAAUGUUAUUCUGAAGUGCCAAGACGGCUUCCUUGAAUUGCAAUAGUAUUUCGAUGUCUUGGUAGUUGAAUUUUUCUCAAUGAGCUCCAGGAAACUCUGUAAUUCUGAUUCUUGCCACCAAGUAACUUCAGGGCAGUCUGGAAAGGAUUUUCAAUGUACUUAUGUUCUUGAUGGAAUCUAAUUAUAAUUCUUAAAAACUUUUCAAUGUACUUCUGGCUUUUAAGCAAGCCUUGUCAGAACAAGAGUCUUGUGAUUAAAUUGUUUCUUCAACUCAAAUAGAUCCCUGAAAAUUAGAAAGGGGAGGCUUAUAAUUAAAUAAUAAAUGACACCAGGGGUAACAACUUAUACCCUGAUAAUCUACUAAUAGACUGACAUGCUGUAUCCAAGAAAUUAUUCCACCCCGUUUUUGGGCUGUGUUCAGAAAAUUAUUACAACCCAUUUUUGGGGUUCAACUUCGGUAUUGUUUAUUAUGUUGUUCGCCUUUUUUAAAUUGUGUUUUUUAAAAUAUAUUUUAUAAUCUUAAUGAAAAAAAAUAUAAAAAUAUAUUUUUAAUUAAAAAAUACUUUUAAAAAAGAUCAUAUCUUGCAUUACUAAACACACAUAUAAUAGAAUACUCGAGGGAUUUUUUUAUAAGCCAAGACUAAAUUUAUUAUUGCUAUUAUUUUAAAGUUCAUUCGUAUUUGUAUUAAACACAUACUAAUUUUCUCUUGAAAUAUGAAAGCAAAAUCCAAAAAAAAAUAAAAUGAAUGCUAAUCAAUAAAAAACAUAUGAAUUUUUUUUAUUUGAGAAUAAAGAAUUUUUUAAAUUUUUUUAUAAAUUAAUUAAAAUUAACCAUUAUUUACAUUAUUUAAGAGCAUUAAAGAAAUUUUUUAAAAAAACUUAACAAAUCUAAAAUUAGAAGUUAUUGUAGUUCUAAAUACUUCCGAGUAUUUAAUUAAUUUUAUUUUUGGAUAUGUUUUUAAAAUAUAUUUUAUUUAAAAAAUAUUAUAUUAAGUUUUUAAAUAUUUUUAAUGAUUUUUAUGUAUUAAUAUUAAAAUGGCAUGUCAUUCUCAGUAGAAACAUACAAUUAAAUUUCAUUAACAGCCAUCUCAAGUUCUAUACUAUCUUGCAAGUUGUAUAACAUCAAUGAAAAAUUUUUUAUUUAAAGGGGUUAAAAUGACAUCUUUUUACCAAAAUUGUUUUUUCUAAAAAAAAUUCAAUAAUAUUUAACCAAGUUUUACCCGAGUCCAUAUAAUUUGAAAGUAAUAAAUCAUAUCAAAUUUCUUUAAAUUAUUAAAUUGGAUCCUUAAUUUUUAAUUUGUCAAAUUAUUAAAUUGGAUCUUCAAUCUCUUUUAUAGGGGGUUUGGUAUCACUGCAUAACUUAAUUAUGACACUAUAUAUAGUGAUCAUUUGUGAUAAUUCUGUUGCAGAUUGAAAAUAUUUAGCGACACUAAAAGUGUCGUUAAAUAUGAGAGCCAUUACAUGUUGUUUUUUGUUUUUUGUAGUGCAACGAUAGUAAAACAUGAUGUUAAUUUUAGCAACACACCGUGACCAAAUGCAACGAAGAGAGUCGAAACCUAAUAAUCAAAGAAAAUUAGAUAUUCUAAAAUUGAUAUUGGAUUUUUAAAGAUUCAGAUAUUAGGUUAACAUCACAUUUACUAUAACCUUUUAAAUAAAAAAUUAUCAUUGUUUAUGUUUUUCUAAAUUAUUUUAUGCUAUUAUAUUUUUAUUUAUAAUUUAUUUAAGAAUAGACACCGGUUUCUUAGAAUAAAAAACUUGUAAAAUUUUUUGUCAUCCCUAAAAACCAAAGAGUCCAUAGCUUGUCAUUUUAUGACACUAGCCUUGCUAUGUAUAUACAUAAUCUCCACGGUUUUAAAAACCAAUCUCUAAAAUAGGAGAUUUCAUUAAUUUUUUUACAUUAAUCCCUGAAGACAUGCAGUAGAUUUUGUAAUUUCUUGAAUUUUAAUAAAAACUUUGAUGUUAAUCCCUUAAGAUAGAAGAUUUCAUCACUUUUUAAGAUUUAAUGAAAAUUUUGAUGAUAUUCACUAAAAUAGAAGAUUUCAUCAAUUGUUUCUUUGGCUGCUUAUCCAAGAUAAAGUCUUCAUCCGUGAUUUCUUGUUUCAGCAUGAUUUCUUUUCUCUUCAGCAAGCUAGAUGUAUGUUUUGUAAAAGAAGAUUUGAAACUUCAAGCCAUCUCUUCAUUCAUUGUGUUUUUGCCUGGAAGUUAUGAAUGAAAUUCCUAUUUUGGUGGGGGAAUUAGUGAUUCUUUCCCAAAUUCUAUUGAUGAUAUAAUCUACAAAUGAUGCAAGGAAAAUUUCAGAAUCUUUCAUGAUGACAACUUCUCUUUUCUUGUAUUGCAUGGAGUCUAUGGCUACAUUGAAAUGAUGUAAUCUUCAAUGAUGCUAUUCCAGAUCUUAAGGGUUGUUUUUACUUUAUCGAUCCUCCACAGGUUCUCCUUAUGGUUGAAGUUUGAUAGCACAACUUUUGCUUACACCGGUUUGGAUUUAGGGAUCAACUCUGAUGGGAUCUUUUUCGGGGAUAACAGAAGUUGACUUCUUGUUUUUAUCUAUUGUCUGGUCCCUGUUUUCUUCUUCCUGUUAUAGAGUAGAUACCGUGAUUUAGGGAUCAACUAAGGUUCACUGUUGGUUUCUAUGCAAGGCAAGAUUGAAAGUUCUGUGAAUAUAUGAGUUGGAAGGUUAGAGUAAAUGCUGGAUGGUAUUUUUGAUUUUUCCCUCUCAAUGGCGCUGCUCACCAAUAGCUCGGGUGUAUUUGUGCUGAUGGAGAUGGAACCGAAGCGUAUAUAUUGGCUUUUUUUACUUGCUAAAGAUGGCUAACUCAGUAACAGAAGAGAUUUUCUAUUUCAGCAUGACUACCUUACCCUUAAGGAAUCAAGAUGUGCUUCAUGCAAUAAAAGCUUGGAAUCUUCAAUUCACUUCUUCAUUUAGUAUCACUUCACUUUGAAUAUAUGGAUGAAAUUGCUUUUUAAUCAGGGCUUUUGUAGUGCUUUUUCAAAAUAUAUUGACAAUAUGUGUUACCAAUGGUCUUCCAUGGUUAAAGACAAGCAACAAAAUCUCUUAUAACAGCUUAUUUUCUCAUGUAUUGUAUGGAAUAUGUGGCUCCACUGAAAUGAUGUCAUUUUUAAUGACGCUGCCCCUAACCUUCAAAUCUAUUUUUUCAUGAUGCGUCAAAGUAUUGCUUCAUGGCUGAGGCUUCAUUCUAGCUUUUUAAAGCUUAAUAUAGAGAAUGUUCAGUAGGGAGGAAAUGAUUUUUUAUGUUUUUUAUUUGUUCCUCCUAAUUGUUACGCUCCCUUGUUUCAUGCAGCAGCUUUUAUGCUUUUUUUUUUCUUUAUUUAUUCAUCUAAUGUAAAUUAUGCUAUUAUCUUAAUACCCAUUUUCUUAAUAAAAAUUUCGAUUAUUACCAAAAAAAAAGAUGGCUAACUGUAAUUAGAAUGAUGGUAAAUGUUUCUUCUUUUCACAGUAACAAAUCUCUGAGACCUUACAUCUCUAGUUAAUUAUAACUACCUUACCGGUCAAAAUGUUCUUUUUCUGUACCUGAUGAGUGAUAUUAUUUCUGAGAUUUUUGAACAUGUAAUGACGGAAGCCUGCGUUGGACUGGUUCUCUUUGUUACGUUACUGGAGUCGCAAUGUUUCGAGUUAUCGGACCAAAUUAAUUCUCUUUCUUUUUGCAGCAAAGCUGUAUCUCUUGCUACUUGCUAGAGGCGUAAUCCCAGGCUACCACUGUUUUGGUGUUGCCUCUCUCACCAUUGUUAUUAGGUUGAAUUAAAUACCAGAAGAUUUCUGGAUGUGUAAUGACUGUAUGAUUAAACUUACCAAUGCACUGUCAAGGCUGUGGCGCGUCAACUGCAUGUGCCGGCGGGCGUCACCAUUGUUCCACCAUGUGCCGUUGUAGCCACUAAGUGGCCAAGAUUUUUUAAAUGAGAAGGUAAAUUACUAAUAAAUAUUUGAUAUUAUGUAUUAUGUAUACAUGCAUUAUAUAGAAAAAUCAAUUUGAAAUAUAUGUACUAACUCAUAUUAAAUGAAAUUAAUUUAAGAGUACUUUUAAAAUGAUAAAAAAAUUACAUUAUAAUUGUUCUUUUCGGGUUUUUAUAUUUUGAAACUGUUUCAUAAUAACUUCAUUAUCAAUCUCAUUAAAGAUAUUUUUCUAAAUUUAUAUAAUUAAAUUGUCAUUUAUCCACUUAUCUCCUAUCUUAUAUUGCAAUCUACUCUUGAAAACAUUCAUGACAGAUAAAACUAUUUUCACUAUAGCAGUUACAACUAGUAAAAAUAAUGACAAUUUGAUAAGUAUAUAUACCAAUAAAAAUAUUAAAUUCUUCUUUGUUUUUACCAUUUAAUUUCUCCUCAAGACUAGCGGCAAUAAAAAGUUCUCUCUGACUAGAAAGUUUCAAAUGGUAGAAGGUAAACUCUUUAAUAUUACAGAGGAGCUAAUGAAUCAAAGAAUCGAACAUAGAAAGUUUUGAUGGUAUAAACACAAACCACGGAAGCAGCAAUAAAAAGUGCUCUCUGGCUCUAUGGUUUCCUUCUUUAUAUGCGUUGAUUAGUUUUUUUUUUUGCCAUAGAAUAAAAUCAUCAGAUGUCCCUUUACUUCUUUAUCUGUUAAACAUGAAUAAAAGAAAAAUUUGAGACAACCAGCUUAUAAUUCAAACACCAAAAGUGUUUUUUAAUAGAUUCAAAGAUUAAAAAAAAUUACUUUGAACUUUGCAAGGAGAGAAUGUAGAUAGUCACAGUAGAACACAUUAAUAUAUUGUCUCUUGAUUUUUUAUCUUUUACAAAAUAUAACUUAAGUUAUUAUAUUAAUAUUUUAACGUAAAAAUUAAUUUUUUUUUUAAAAGAAGGGGGCAGCUGGCCCCUUAUGCCCCAGUGGCUCCGCCCCUGGCAGCCACCACCAAUUCCAGCAGCUCCAGCUUUUUUCUCCAUUUCCUCAUGUCCAAAUUUCAAGCUCAGCAUGACAUUUUGAGUUUAUUUUUCAUGAAUUAUGUUUGUAUUUUGACAAAUCCAACAAUUAUGAUUUGAUUUAGUUGUUUCUGGUUAUGGGACACAAUGUGGUUUUUUUUAUUAAAAACAAAAAACAGAGAGAAUGCAAGAAAGAAAGUCACAGCUACAUUUGAUAGAAUAAAUGUAAGUAGGAAAUAAAAUCCAACUCAAGAAUAGUUACAAAUGAGUUCAAUCCAUUUACAGAAAAAGGGUAUAUAAAAUAUAUUGGUCUGAAGAAUCCUCUGUCUGGAAGUUCUUUGAAUGGGGCUGUGAUGGCAUUUAGAAAGCAGAGGAACUAGGGGGCUUGUAGCAGAAAUCAUAUUUAUUGUUGAAGAUUUUUUUGUGUUCGGUUUAGAUAACUUUAUUUGGAUUUAAUCCACAAUGGGUAUCAUCUCUUAUAGAUGAAUGGUUAAGCUUCCAAGUCUACCAUUCUCUCAUGUAUUUGGAUUUAAUCCACUGAAACUGAGGUUUAAGAAUUUCUUGUUGUGAAUUGCAGAAAACAGUUGAUUGAUCUUCACUAGGAUGGCAAUUGGAAAUGAAUGGAGGAAGCAUCAAGAUCAGUGGCUUGUUUGAAGGCAGAUAGACCCUUUGAUCGUGAGAUGAUGCCUUUAGAUGAGAAAGGAUGUGAGAAAGGUAUAUCACAGCUGCAUUUGAUAGAAUAAAUGGUAAGUAGUUUGUUUUUUAAUUAAGUAUUUCAAUAUGGCAAAGAUAGGGUGUAAUUUACCAUACUUUAGUCUUAUUCCAUUCAAUAUAAUUAUGGAUACUAUAGAGCAUAUACGUACUUUGAUCUUAAUUAGUCCUUGGCUUAAAACGAAUUUGGUGCAGAUACAGAUUCUAAAGACGUCCAACUCCAACAAGCCCUAAAAGGACAUCAUUGGAUAAAUACCAAGGAGCUUGUGCAUGAGCAUUGUUUUGUUCACUCUGUGGCAGAGGCCUCUCCACAACUUCUCAGCAGGAAAGCUAUUAUUUAAGUUGCAACGCAGUGCGGUUCUAUAAACUAACUAGUUUAUAGCAAUUGCAAAUGAAUGGACCCUUUGAUCGUUAGAUUAUGCCUUUAGAUGAGGCUCGACAUUAUAGAGGCAUAAAAGAGAGAGAGAUACAUCACAGCUGCUUUUGAUAGAGUAAACAGGUCACAUAUUAUUUACACUCAACCUUAGCAAACACCAAAGCAAAUAAUUAAUACACUCAAAGCGAAAAAAUAAUGUGAGAAAUCUUUUACCAAACUGCACCCAUCUUCUCAUCCCCGUAACGAUUCGUUAGAAUGGGGCUCCUUCUUAUGAUUAAUUCCUGUAGAGGCGCUGCCAAAACAUAGUCUGGUAGUGCUCUCAACAACGGGCAAGUAUCAAUAAUCAACUCUUGAAGUUGUGUUGGCAUCUUCUUCUCCCACUCUCCUUUCAAUUCCAUCCCACUCUUCUACUUCUGUGAGAUCCAUAAUCCAAAGUUUUUUCAAUUUGGGGAAAGCAGUGACCCUUGCAAUUUCUCCUUCACUAAUACUGGCAUUCUCAUCUUUUUCUAUACCUAAAAAUCCAGCAUCCAGCCUUCUCACCUUCAUCGACCUCAAUACCAGGCUUUCAUGGUUGGGCAAUCUUCCCAACGGAGGCAAGACCUCCACGUUUGUACAAAGACCGAGUGUAAGCACCUGUAAUCUGGUUAAUGUCAUCAUCCAAUUUGGCAAAUCCAACCCUCCGUACCUAGUUAUGGUUAGAUUUUCCAAGGAUGACGGAGGCUGUAAAACUUCAAUUAAAAUGUUGUUCUCCCGGUUGAAGUUGAAAUCCAAUUGCAAACAAAGUAGGCGAUUCUUAUUCUUGAGUUGUACUUCUUUCAUUGUCUUUUUCUACUCUUUCAUAAUUUAAGGCACUUCUUUCUUCUUUUAGCUAGAAACAUAAUGCAGAUGCAGAGAGUGAAGAGUCGACAUGCAGAUGCAGGAACAUAGGAAGAGAGUUGUUUGGUUACUAAAAUAAGGGCUAGGGUUAUGAAAUCUGGAAAUUGAAAUUCGGAUCGAAAUUAGUGAGGAAAUCAGCAUGCUAGAUUCAGCAGCGUUUGGGGUCAGAAUGGCAUUGUUGGGAAUAAGACAACAAAUUAUGCGUAGCUUAGCAGCCAUUGUUGCUGCUUCAGGAACACCAAACUCCCUUGUCAAAAAACUGCAUUCAUAUGCAUUUUGCAAUUAAGGCAUUAUGCUUUAAACUCAUUCUAUUUGCCUUCCCUCACACAAAAAAGAAAAAAAAAAGGUUAUUUGCUGUCGUCACUGGAUUAGUUUCAAACCCAAAAGUCUCGUUGCGUUCUGUUUCAAUUCAGUCAGUCUUUAUUAGUCAAUGCUUCGCUGCACUGAAAAAACACCAUAUGCACCUCAUUGCAGAGUGAGGUCAUAUGUCCUACAAAAAUGGAUUUUGAACAUAAUAAUUAGAAGGAAAAAAAAAUUAAAAGUGAGCAUAAUUGAUCAUCGUGGAUAUAAUAAUAAUAUUUAAUAAAAUGAAUUAGCUUGUUAACUCCUAGAAGUUUUUAUAAAAACUAAUCUUGAAGUACAAGUAAUCCCUUCGCUCAUCAACUUCGCUGUGAAAAAGCCCAGAGUACUCAGCUUGGGCUUGUGUUCCCUCAUUAUGACUUGGUGAAUUGGGCAAUCUAAAUACUUUUGGGCUCUGUGUUUUAAUGGGUUCCAAGGGGAAGAAAACACAACGAUUCUUGAACAAGGAUUUGUGUCCCGUGCGCACUUGAACGAUGGGGGUCUGUUUGCAUUUUGUCAAAAGAGAUGAAAUUCUAAUCAAUGAUGAUGAUGAAAAAAAUAAAUAUAUAAAUUACUAUGUGCAUUCUAUAAUUUAGUUAUAUAAUAUAGUAGAUCUUUACAAAUUAGUAAUUUCAACUUACCAGUAGAAAAAUUAUAGUAGAUCUUUACCAUGAUAUUAUCGAAAUAAAUAAAUAAAUAAAAAUAGAUACACUUCAACACGUCCAUACACUCCUUUUUUAAAAAAUAAUUAUAAUAAAAUUAAUUAGUUAUUAAUUAUAAAAAUCAGACCUAUGAGUUAUGUCUAAGCUGUUGAAAAUAGUAAAGAUAAAGUAAUUAGAAGUGACAAUGAAAUUAUUAGUUGAUCAUCGAGUUGUUUUACUAGAAUCCAAAUCACUUAGCUCAAAUUACUAAUAACAAUUAUAAAUUUACACCAAAUUUGAACAAAUUUCUACCAGCCGAUGUGACUAAACUCAAAUCACUCCUAGGAAUCUUAAUAUAAACCCAUUUACUACUAGACCAGCACCUCUUUGGCUAAAAUCCACGUUGCUUUCCCACACCAAUCAUCAGCUUCUUCAAUUACAGUGCUACAAGUCCAUGUCUCUAUACCUAUUGUAACAUAUUCUACAAACAUACUGUUUUACUGUAGACUGCAAUGUUUUAAGUGUUUUUUUUUUAUUAAGUUGUUUUAUUUUUUUUAACGGUUUUUUUUAUGUCUUUCAGAAUAUUUUUUUUGCUUCGUUCUUUGUUUUUUUUUCUUUUAACAAAAGUUUUUUGUUUAAUUUAGUUUAUUAAUGUUUAAUUUUUUUAUUUAUUUAUCAGACUUUCAUGAUACAUUUUCCAGAUUUAACGGGUUAACCUGGUUUGACAAGUUAACCCAUAAUUUUUUUUUUUGCUUUUUUUAAAUUAAUUUUUUUGCUUUAGUUUAUUUUAUUAAUGUUAAAUUUCUUUCUAUUUAGUUAUCAGACUUUCAUGACAUAUAUCUAGAGUUUCACGGGUUAACACGGUUUGACGGGUUAACAUGGAUUUUUUAUUAUUUUUUUCUUUUUAAUUAAUUUUUUUCGUUUAGUUCAGUUUGUUAAUGUUCACUUUUUUUUUUAUUUCGUUACCAUACAUUCAUGACACAGAUCCCGGGUUUAACGGGUUAACCUGGUUUGACAAGUUAACCUGAAAUUUUUUUUUUUUGCUUUUUUUUUUUUAAAUUUAGUUUAGUUUGUUAAUGUUAAAUUUCUUUCUAUUUAGUUUUUUUUUCUUCAUAGAGGUUUUUUUCUUUUAUUUUUUCUUUUUAAUUAAUUUAGUUUAUUAAUAUUAAAUAUUUUUCUAAUUAGUUCUCGGCUAAUGCCUUUAGUUUUUCUUUUUGUUUCUUUUUGUUGUUUUUUUGCCUUUGACUGUGGACUGCACAAUGCAGUCCACAAUAAAAAGGUUGAUGCCUUUUGUUUUUUUUUUCUUUUUAAUUAAUUUUUUUUGUUUAAUUUAAAUUAUUAAUGUUAAAUUUUUUUUCUAUUUAGUUAUCAAACUUUCAUGAUACGAAUUCUGAGUUUGACAUGUUAACCUGAUUUGACGAGUUAGCCCAGUCAACUCAAUGAAUCACACAGAUAAAUUACACGGAAUCAGUAAAAUCAAAAUAAAACGUGUUAAUCUACUUUCUUAUGUUAUGAAAGGAGAUGAAUCCAACAAAAACAUAAUAAGCCACAGUUAAUUUUUUUAUCUUUGAGAUAAAAAAAUAUUUUUGAAAAAAUUAAAUUUUUUAUUAAUUUAUAAUUUAUUUAUAUUUUAAAAUAAUUUUAAUGUAUUAAUAUUAAAAAUUAAUUUUUAAAAACAAAAUUUUAAUUAUUUUUAAAUAAAAAUAUUUUAAAAAAUAAUUAUUAUUUUAAUACCAAAAACGCUUUUGCCUGCUUGGGAGUUAUGGUUGCGGUUGCUUUUCAAAAUGUUUUUUAUUUAAAAAUGUAUUAAAAUGAUGUUUUUUUUAUUUUUUUAAAAUUAAUUUUUAUAUCAGUGCAUCAAAAUAAUCUGAAAAAACUAAAAAAAUAUUAAUUUAAAUAAAAGAAAAAAAUUAAAAUUAAAUAAAUAUUUUUCAAAACGUUUUUAAAACAUAAAAACAAAUAGAAAUAAAUGCUAAAAUAGGAAAACAAACCAACUCUUUAUUAAAUGACAUUAUUUUUGAGAUUUUAUAUAUAUAUAUAUAUAUAUAUAAAAACUUUGGUGGACACACCAAUCAAUCCAUUCGAUUGGCCACCCAAUCUUGGGCAAGAUCGACCGUGGGUUGUAUCUUAUUACUAUGGUGAUAAGUAAUCACUCGAAAGUUCAAAACUAGCUUGACCCAUAAGAAUAUAUAUCGGAAUAAGUUAAGACUAUGAUGCCAACUUUAUUUUUUUAAAAAAAUAAAAGGCAUAAAUCAUUAAUAAAAAUCUAAAAGGUAUGAAAUUUUUAUUAUGUGUGUACCAUUGUUCACCCUUCCAUAUUUUAUUAUAGAUAAUCUAUUGUUUAAAAUUUUGUCUUUUUAAUCUGGGCCUUGAUUUUUUUUACACGAUUGCAUUCUUUUUUAACCAAAUUAAAAAGCAACUUUAUCAAAUUCGCCGACUACUGAUAAAAUUAAAAAAGAGAGGACUAAAAUAGAAAAGGUGCAAUAAAUGGAUGAUGAUUUCAAAGUUCACACAAAAAAUCAAUUUAGUCCUCACACUUUAAAAAUUAUACAUAUUCGAUUUUUCAAUAUUUUUUUAAAUUCAAUUUUAGUAUAAAAUUUCACUUUUGUUAUAUUAUAGUUCAUGGUUUGAGAGAUAAGAGAGCAAGGUCACCGGAUUCCAAAUCUAGACAAAAAAUAUUGUUGGCGUCGAUUUUGACCAUAAAAAUGAUCGAUUUAUAUGUCAAAUGAUUUCAUUUGAUGAUGGGAUUUCAGCUUAAGUGUUUUUUACUUUAAAAAUAUAUAUGGGCUCAAGAGAUUGUUCAUUUUUGGUUGAUUUUGAGUUUUGAGAUAGUUUUUUUUAUGUCAUAGACAUGUUUAUCAAAGUUCAUAUGUUUUUUUCUAGGUAUUUUGGGUAAAAAAAAAUUAAAAAUGAGUUUUUGAAUGAAAAAACCUCAAAUCUUGAUUUUUCUGCCACCACAAUAAUCAAAAUAUGAGGAAAAUCAUACGAUGCAUCAUCUAAUUUAAUUUUCUUUCAAAAAGAAAGGAGGGGGGGGGGGACUUUGCAAUGAAAGAGAAUUAUGGGUCUAAGCAUGUGGGCCUACCUUGACAGACUUGUACACGGGCCCUAACAAGAUUAGUCGAAUGGGGUGGCUCGGCUUGUCAAGCCUAGUAACACUUGAGCUUUUUUUUUUUUUUUUUAAAUUAAUACUUUUUUAUAUUCUUUUUUUCAAGUUUAAUAUUUUAUUUAUAAUUAAAUUAAUAUAUUUUCUCUCUUUUAUUUUGUUGAUAUAGCCUCUUUAAAAUUACAAUUAUUUUUUAAUUAUUUUGUAUGCAUUUAUUUUUAAAAUAUAUUAUUAUAAUUCAUCUAUAAAUGUUUUUUGUGUUUUAUAUGAAUAAAAAAUAUUUAUUUAUUUAUUUAUAAUAUUUCUAACAUGUGUAAUCUUACAUGAUAUUGUUUUUAAUUCAAUCAAUUUUACAUGUAUUUAUUUUUAUUAUUGUUUAAUUGAAUGAAAAUUUGAUUUUGAUAAACAAUGAUAUUUAAUACAAUCAGAUGAAAUGCUUGUAUUGUAAUGUUAAAGAUCUUGAUUUAUAUAUGUUUAUCGAUAUUUCAAUUUUAUCUUUAUUUAUUGUUAAUAAUAUUUUAUUUUUUAUUUUUUUAAUACACAUUAUUCUCAAUAUAUUUGAUUAUAUUUAUGCAUCAGUUUUUUUUUAUGCUUAUAAUUUUUUUUAUGUACAAAUACAUGUUGGAAAAAUCUUCAUAUAUCAUUUUUUUAUAUAUAAAAAAUAUGUUUGAUGCACUAACACGUGAGAGCUUUCACUUUUAAUUUGCAUAAUAAAAGAUUUGUUUUUGUCCUUUUUUUUUUUAUUGAUCCUUUUAAUAUUGCACUGAUCUUAUAUUGAUUUUUACGAUUUGAUUUUAUGCCAAUGAUGGGACCUUUUAGUGCUGGGGAAAUAUUACGUGCUUGGUUGAUUCUCAAUUUUUAAUAAAAUCAAAAUCAAUUGCAUUCGUAUAAAAGAACUAGAAAUUCAGGUAUUGGAAUUGAAAGACUAAAUAAAUGUGCUAUUCCUUUUGUUUGCUAACAUUGAGAAUUGAUUUGCAUAUUCAAUGAAAAAAAAAUCAAAUUCAAUUUUAGCAGUGGAUUGAUUGCCAUGAUCUAGCUAGCAGAAUUUGCUAGUGUUUUUUUAAUUAAUUUUUUAAUUUAAUCAUUUUAUAUUUAAAUUGUUGAAAUUUGACAUAAUAAUUUUUUUGUAAUUGCUUUGUGGGGUUAUUUUAACAUUAUAACUUGAGUUAUGGUUUUAACAUACUAAUUAAAGUUGAUUCGAAUUAAUUUUUAUAUAUUGAAUUAUAUAAGAAUUGAAUUUGUAAUUAUUCUUUUGCGAGAACUUUUUUAAGCAGGUCACGCUAACCUUUUUUUUAUCUUAGCCUGCAACGGCAUAACACGAACAAUCUAUCUAGUGUUAUUACUGAAAGAUCACAUGGCCAACCCAAAAAGUUCACGAAGAACACACAAUCAAAAACGCAAAAAAACAAAAGGGUUUCUUGAAUUUCAACCAAAGAAUAUAACAAAACCGAUAAAACAAAAUAAUAAAUGUUUACUUACAGAAGAUUCAUCGACUAAAAUAGAUGGCAAUUUCUUCUCAGUUGCAAUAACAACAACGUUUGCCGCUACAACACCAAAAAAAUAAUAAAAUCAACAACAUAGUACAUUCGAAAAUGACAAGAAAAUGAGAUGGUAGAAGAAACCAAAGCGAAGAGGUCACAUAGAGUAAAUGGUAAGAAUUAACACCAAAGCAAAUAAUUAAUACACUCAGAACCAAAUCUUUUACCGUUAAGAAUUAAUACUGGUAGAAGAAUUUACCUCUAUAUCAUCAAAAUUAAUAUUUGGGAUGUGAGAAAUCUUUUGCCAAUCUUCACCCAUCUCCUCCUUCCCGUAACGUUUCCUUAGAAUGGAGCAACCAUUUAUGUAUAAUUCCUGUAGAGGCGCUGCCAAAACAUAGUCUGGUAGUGCUCUCAACAACGGGCAAUCAACAAUCAUCAACUCUCGAAGUUGUGGCAUAAUGGAUAUUAUUGAAGUUGUGUUGGCAUCCCACUCUUCUACUUCUUGGAGAUGCCAAAAACCAAGAUGUUUUAAUUUGGGGAAAGCAGUGACCCUUGCAAUUUCUCCUUCAUUAAUACUGCCAUUCUCAUCUUUUUCUAUACCUAAAAAUCCAGCAUCCAGCCUUCUCACCUUCAACGAGCUCAAUACCAGGCUUUCAAGGUUGGGCAAUCUUCCCAGCGGAGGCAAAACCUCCAGGUUUUCACAAUCAAAGAGUUCAAGCCCCUGUAAUCUGGUUAAUGUCAUCAUCCAAUUUGGCAAUUCCAACCCUCCGUAACUAGAUAUGGUUAGAUAUUCCAAGUAUGACGGAGGCUGUAAAGCUUCAAUUAAAGAGCCUUCAUUCGCUUGCAACUCUGUUUUCUCUCUGUCGAAAUACAAUCGCAAACGAAGCAGGCGCUUCUUAUUCUUGAGUUGUGCUUCUGCAGCGUCACUCGCAUCUUCUUUACCUCCUCCUAGAUUCCGUAUAGUAAGACUCCCUCCAAUGUGAUUUAAGUCUUUUAAUUCUCUUAGAUUAGCUGCUUUACUUUCAUUCUCACCACCACCACACACAAUAAACAAAUCUAAUGUUUGAAGACAUGUUAUCCUCUCUAUUCCCUUUGGUAUGAAGACCACUCCUGAACCAAAAAUCCGGAGAUGCCUCAAUUUGAUAAGUUUUCCAAUCGUCUUGGGCAAUUCCUUGAGAGACCGACAGAAAGUAACAUCUAGGGAUUGCAGAUUGCAUAAAUCACAACUGGUUUCUGGCAGGGACUCCAACUCUCCACAUUGUGCCAAAUUGAGGUGUCUCAAAUGUAUCAAUUUCCCUACCUCGUUUGGUAUUUCUUUGAUUGAAGACCCUGACAAAUUCAAUGACCUGAUGCAUGUCAACUGCUUGAACAAAUCAGGCAGUGCAGCUCCAAGCGAAGGGUCUCUAGUGUCGAUCAAGAGGCUGCGAAGACCUUUUGCUUUGUGAAUGGACUUGGGAAAAGAGGUCUCCUCUGACAGCAUCAUGCUUAAAUGACGAACCCUUUCAAUUGAAGUCUCCAUUGUUGCUUCUCCAAGUGUAUUGACAUCCACUGUUAGACAUUCAUUUUUUGUCAUAUAUUGGGCAAAAUCAUGCACUAUAUCAUGCAUCUUGAAUCUAAUAUCUUCUCGAUCAUACGUCUCAAAAUCUUGGAAGAAAGAGCGCGCUGCCAAGACUUGAAAGUACUGCUCUCCUACAAGCUCCAUAUCUCCACCUGAAGUCUCCUUGAGGUAACCUUGAGCCAUCCACAUCUUCACCAAUUCAUAUUUUCCCAUCUCGUAGUCUUUUGGAAACAUGGCACAAUACAAGAAACAUCGUCUUACCACAGAAGGUAAAUCGUAGUAACUCAAAAGCAAAGGUAUAAAUAUUCGUCUUUCAACCUGAUCUCUAUCAACCUCAUCUAGCCUCCACAGUUCGCUAGAUAAAACACGAUCCCACUCUUCUCUUGUUCUUUUAGACUGCAUUAGACCUCCUAAUACCUUGGCAGCUAGAGGCAAGCCCUUGCACUUGUUUGCAAUUUUAUCGCCGAUAUCUGUCAAUCUUUCGCGCUCAUCUUCGCUUCUUUCCUGGAAUGCCACAUGAUUGAAUAUUGACCUGCAUAUCUCAUCGGACAAUUUCUCAAUGUUGAUCCGGUGGUCAGUUCCCAUCAUCGUUGCCACAGCGUCCUUACGAGUGGUCACUAGAAUUCUGCUUCCUCGUGCACAGCCUGUGAGAGAUGGUUUCAGUUGUUCCCAUUGUCCAUGAUUUUCUGUCCAGACAUCAUCAAGGACAAGAAGGAACCUCUUUCCCUUAAUGGAUUCAGAAACCCUUCGCAAAAGGGAUUGCAAUCCUACCAAAUCAGAUGCCCUCCCUUCAAGCUCCUCCAGGAUAGCUUUGGCUAUUCUAACCUCAUCAAAUGGUUCUGAAACACACACCCAUAUCUUUUUCUCAAAAUGAGCCGUAACCUCUGAAUCAUUAUAAGCUAGUUGGGCGAGAGUUGUUUUUCCAAUUCCUCCCAGCCCUACUAGAGAGAUGACAUCCACGUCCCGUGCUUCUUGACUACUUUCAGCCAGCAACUUGCUUACAACAUUUCUCUUUUCACCAUCUCGACCAAUCACGCUUGAUUCAUCAACAAAGGAGGUAGUUGUUAGUCGCUGGAGUUCAUCAGUGGCUUUGUACAGAUCAAAGCCAUACUUAGCUCUCUGUUUGGCAAUGUCAUCCACCUUUUCACAAACUUCUUUGAUCUUCAGGGCAAUGUCGCGACGUCGAACCACUUGAUUGAAACAAAAGCAAGGAGAUCCCAGGAAGGAACAUCGUAUCUUCUGUCGGCUGUGAGUAUUUUCUUCAGCUUCCUCCAUUUUCCAUCUAAGAAUUGCAGUGCUCCAUUCAUCUAGCACGUCAUCCAUAUCAUAACAUGCAUCUUUGAGCUUGUCUACCCAAUCUCUUACAGCCUUAUCCUUCACUUGUUUUCUAUCUGCAUCUUCAAGGACAGAUUGGAUAUCAAGGAGAUUGCUUUUCAGCUUGUCACAUUGUUUCUUCACACCCACUACUAGGUUCACCUUUUCUUGUACCUAUUAGUGUACAAAGGAAAAGAAACGUUAAGCAUAGGAAACAUUUCUAUGACAAUUUCACACCCCCUACUAGGUUCACCUCUUCCUGUACCUAGCUAUUAGUGUAGAAAAGACAAGUUCAAGCAUAGGAAACAUUUCUAUUUUGUAUUAAUAUAUUUUAUUGUGAAAUGGAUUUACUAUAUUAAUAAUUUAUAUAUAAAAUAUUUAUUAUAAAUGAUAAUAUUUCUUUUUUCUUUUUAUCAUCAUGAUGAUGAUAUCAGUCUGCACUAUGCUACUGUACAAGAAGGUAUAAAAUGAAUCUUAAAUGGUAAAAUGUAAACCUGUACGUAUGUAUAUAUAUAUAUAUAUAAAGAGUUCAAUGUUCUCACGUGAGAAGGAUUUCUCCUUUGAACCGACAUAAAAUCUGGUUUUCAUUUUACAUUAAACUAUAGAUAUAUGGAUGUAUAAAGGCAAGUGAAUAAAAGGAUCUGCAUUUAUAUAUUUGUGAAGUCAAUUUAGAAAUAAAGGCAUGAUAAUAAGAUUGUGUGAUAACUAUAUAGUUUUAAUUCACACCAAAUACUCACUCGCUAAUCCUUCGAACUUUUUAUUGAUUAUUUUACCUUUAAUAGUUCAGUUUAAAGAGAAUUGGCAACUCUUGUUCAUCUUUUUUGGUUUUCUUAUAUUUGGAAUGAUAUAUUUUCUUUAGGUUAUUUUUAGAAAUAUGAAAACUAAUAAAACUAGAAAAAUAAGUCUUUAAUAAAAUCGAAAUAUAUACUUGAGGAUUUAAAAUAUUAUUUUUAUUUUUUCAAGUUAAAAGUAUUCUUUUUAUGAGAGGAAGAAAAAAGGCUUGAACGUUAUAUAUAUUUCUUAUCUGUGCUUAGGUAAAUCAGGUUAUUGCAGAUGGCAGAAAAAUACCUGUUGAGCAACGAUCGUGGUUAACUGCUCCAAGAUCGGAGAUAGAAGUGCCUCAGCCAUCGUCUGUUUAGUUCUGAUUGGAGAGAGAGAGAGAGAGAGAGAGAGAGAAGCAGUGAUGAUAGGAAGACAGAGAGAAAGAGAGGGUGAAGGGAAGGAGGCGGCUGAUUGUGAAUGGAUUAAUAUACUUGGGGUUUCUCGUUGCAGGUGGAGUUCUUGCAACUUGUAGUUUUUUUUACUAGUGAAGCUUUGUAUUUAGUGUCUCCACAGAAAAAUAUUUUUUAUUUAGUGGCUGAAAGAUUCACAAUUUAUAUUAUAAUUGAUGAUUUUUAUUCUAUGAAAGAACAACAAAUAUAAUUAAAAUAAUAUAUAAAAAUUAUUUUUUAUUAUUUUUUAUUUUAUUUCAAAGUUUAUUAAACAUAAAAUAAUGUUUCGCUUUAAUUAAUGUUUCUUAUAUACUUUGUAUGUUUAUAUUUGAUAGGUAUAGAGAUCAACAACAUUAAAAUGAUGAAUACAUCAUGAAGUUAAAAUUAGCUUCAUUGUUUUGACUUAAUUUGAUAUUGCUCCAAACCUUUUAUAUUAUAUAUUUAUAAUAAGUUAUUUGAAUAAAACUAAAUCAUACUGGUUUUUUUUACAACUCAUAUAUAAUAAAUUAAAAUAAAUAUUAUAUUUUGUUUUAUUAUUUUUGGCCAUUCCAAAAAUAUCAAGGGAAAGUCUUCAAAUGCACAGAGUAAAUCGGAACCCACAGUGAAGUAGCUCUUCAGUAUCUUCUAAGCUCAAGCUGUCAAACACAGACCAAAAGCAAACGUGUCAUAACCAAAACAACCCAAUGAAUGGUAGAUGUUAAAAUGAGCAUUCCAUUUUCUGAAUGACAAAAAUCCCAGUGCCUAGCAAUGACUUACAUAAUUAAUUAAAAUGGAUUUGUUAAAAUAUAGUAAAAUAUUAGACCGUUUAAGAAUUAACACUGUUGGGUUUCGAUAACUUUAUUUGGAUUUAAUCCAUUAAAUCAAUGGGUAUCAUCUUUUAUAGAUGAAUGGUUUAGCUUCCAAGUCUACCAUUCUCUCAUUUAUUUGGACUUAAUCCACUGAAACUGAGGUUUUAUUUGUAAGUAUACACAUCAGGCUCAAGCUUAUCUUCUUGCAUCUGCUCAAAUAUUUCUUCUGCCUUCUCACAGAGUCCCUCUCUAGCAAACGCGUUCACCAGAGCUGUGUAUGUGCAGAUAUCUGGUCUGCAUUUUUGACUUCUCAUUUCGUUAAACAACUUCAAGGCCAUGUAAGAUUGACUUGCCUGAGUACAGGAAAAAGAUUAGCAAAAUGAGUUUUUAAGGAUCCUAAACACCACUGUUGUCCAGUUAUCAGAAUUUAUAACCAUAUCCUUGAAUUUAUUCUGAUAAUUGUUUGAAAUUGAAUGCAUAUAUUUCAAGUUGUUCGUUGUAUCACUGUAGACUCGUAGACGUACGAGUUACGCGUAAUUUUCUACUGGGACCAGUGGCAUUUCAAGAAGAUCAGAUUUGCAGAAUAAUUCAGAACCAAAUACCACUGAGCUUACCUUCCCAUGAAGGUUGAUCAACAGUGUAUAGGUGUCAGUAGAGGGCUGGCAGCCAUCAUUUUUCAUUCGCUGAAAGAUCUCAAUUGCUCUUUGAGGGUUUCCAGCCUUCGUUAACCCAUCAAUAUAAGCAUUGUAUACAAUUGCACCUGGCCAAAAUUAGAGUAUACGCUCACUUUUCACUCUUGAAUGUGCAUGCAAGUGUAUCAACAGAACAGCUUGAAAAACGAAAAUCUGAGAAGUGUAAAUAAGAGAACGAAACACAAAAGCAGAACUAAUGCCCUGUAUUUCACCACCACAAAAAGAAGAGAAAUAACCCACGCAAUCUCAUAAAGGAAAGCUACAGAAGCAAGUUUGUCAUCCAGGAGCCUCUAGCCUAAUCCAGUUCCGGUCUAGCUAAAUUAGCAAGGGGUCCCUCUUGGUUUAAUCAACCAUUCUCUAAGCAUGGUGAUGUAGAUAAGGAGUAGUAAUCACUACUAUUAUAGUAGCAACAAGAAAUAUGCAGACCAUGAACCAAUCUUCUCUUUUCCUACGUUUAGUAUACUUCACCCCCGAAAAGAAAAAAUAAAUACAGCUCUGUGCAAUUAUUGAGCGAGGUUUCAAAAUUUAAAACGAAUUUAACCCCACAAAAAAUCAAUUUUUGAGGAAAAGAAUCUUAAAAGUUGAAGAAAUUUUUGUUUUAUAAGAAAUGGUUGAUCCAAUAACUUCUUGAAAAUACAAUUUCCCUAAAAGCUAAGAAGAAAUGAAUUGGUAAACACAUACUUGGAGGAAGGCUAUACUUUCGCAUAUCAACAAAGGCAGCUUCAGCUUUUUCUAACAAUCCACAUGCACAGUAAGCCUUUAUAAGAAGGGCAUAAGUGUCUUCAGUAGGGAUACACCUGGCUUGAAGAAGAUCAACAUAUGUUUCUUCUGCCUUCUUGUACAAAGAUUUUUGCCCAUAAGCAUCUAUUAGUAAAUUGUAGCACAUGACAUCUGUCUGGAAGGAGCUCUUGUACAAUAUCCAUUGACAUAUCUGGAAAUUUUAGAGUUACACCCAACAAGAUUAUUAAGAAUUAAGAACAAACGAUAUCAAAAAUGUCUAUAUAAUAAAUAGAGACAGUAAAGAGAUUUGUUUCAUUUAGUUGUAGGAAAAUGCUGGUAUAUGAGAAUUCCAAACACCAACUGCAGCACCAACCACUUAAAGGAGAUUUGAACAAUCGAGGAUUCAGUCUUAAUGGUUGAAGAGAAAAAUACUGUGCAAAAUACUGUGCCACAAAAAUAUGUGCGUGCAAGGUGGUUUAAUCCAUCGCCUACCACCUUACACUAUGAAAGAAAUAAGGCACGAUUUACUCACCAAUGCAAUCGGAUCCCAUUGUUUAUUCAAACGAAGUUGGACGGCUACAUUAAUAAGAUCAUCCCAAGUCUCGUGAGUGACAGGAAGAGUAUCAAGAGCAGCCCAAACAUUAUUCGGAUCCACUUCUUUCCGCACAAAGUUCAGAAUCUGAUGAGCAACAGGACUUAGCACGGGAAAAUUCCAUCAACAAAUCCAGAUCCAUAUUUCCAUCCUUGUCCCCUCAAAGAGCCACCUAGGUAAAUUAGACGACUUAAUAAUUAAAGCCAUAUUUGCUUGAGAGUUAUAUGUAUGAGCACAAAGUGAAUUACUCCGUAUUACAUCGUUUCCUGGACAUCUUUUUGUGAUCAAAGAUUCGCCAUUUGCCAUGUUUGUCGAUAUAGACCCUGUCGCUUUUCCACUUUUUAACAUCUCCACUACUGGAAUUCUUUUCUCUGCGUCUGAAAUGACCAUUCCGGAUUCUUGAUUCUAUAAAAAUAUGAUUCAGAGUGCAUCUAACAAGCAACCUGCAAACACUAAUCAAGUAAACACACAAUUGCCAGCAACAAAAUACACACCUCUUAAUUUAAAGCCAUUACACGGAGGAAGCAACCAAAUAAAAUCCAUAUAAAGGAUGCUUUAGACUUCAAAAUAAUUGGACAAAGAGAGACACUAAAACUACUUUUAAUCACAAUAGCAAACACAUGAAAUGCAAACCAGAAAACCUAGUUAAAAAGAAGAAGAAAAGUAGUCAACUUUCCCUUUCUAAACCAAAUAUCUUCUCCCUUUCUUCCGCAAUAAUUCUUAACUGCUGUGAGUAUAGGUUGUAUUUUCAUUACAGAAUCAAAUAUUAGUCUAAUCUAUCUGAUUAAACUACAAAAAUCAAAAUUUGCAAGAUAAACAAGGCCACAACUGUUGAAGACUGGUUAGAGUUCAACAACGAUAAGCAUAGCACUCUGACAGCUAAAACUGGUCCAUCAUCUUAAAACUUAUGAAGUCACAGUAAGACUUUUUAGAUAAUGAUGAUUGCUCGUUCAAUACAUAUGAGAGCCAACAAAAUGCUAAAAUGUUUAAUUAACAAGAACAUAAAACAAAUUAGACAUCCUCUCUCAAGUGAACGUUGAUACUUAGCAAUUCCAUUGAAACCCAUUUCUCAGAACCAGAAAUUCCAUGAAAAAGCAAUAUUAUCCAGCAAGAGGAGAAAGAACCACCAGAAUUGAAGUUAAUAAAUACAGAAAAUAACAAGGCAGCAUGAACAGCAUUAGCAGUGGCAUUGCAUUACGAAAGAGAGGAAGGAAGGACACGACUUACAUGAAAGUAUAAAAGAGGAGUUUGGAGUUGGGUAUCUGUAAACAUCCAGCAAGCAAGAAGAUAUGUGAACUGAAGAGUGUUUUCUUGGAUAAUGGACUCCGUGGGUGAAGACCAGCACUGCCAGACAAAAGUAGCUUCUGUUUUUUUCUGUUUACUAAGGGACAAAAGCCUCAAAAUAUCUCUAACGAACUUAAGGAGUCAAACAAUAGCAUUAUUGUAGCCUCGUGGUGUCUGAGGUUGCAUGGGAUUCUAUAUUGAGACAGUAGCUGAUUAUACAAUGGUUGAUUUAAAAUAACCAACACUACCUUUUUAUACAAAGUGGGAUUGAUGAGGAUAUAAAUCUACACACUCCAACAUUCAAAGUCCCAAUCUUAGAGUCAUUGAUUAGUAUAGUAACGCCUCAUUGGCAAGAACCCAAAUCACUAAGCUCAAAUUACUAAUAAAAAUUACAAAUUUACACCGAAUUUGAACAGAUUUCUACCAACCGAUGUCACUAAAGAAAACACAAAAAAAAAAAAAAAACGCAAAAAAACAAAAGGGCUUCUUGAAUUUAAACCAAAGAAUAUAACAAAACCAAUAAAAAAAAUAAUAAAUGUUUACUUACAGAAGAUUCAUCGACUAAAAUAGAUGGCAAUUUCUUCUCAGUUGCAACAACAACACCGCUUGCCGCUACAACACUAAAAAAAUAAUAAAAUCAACAACAUAGUAUCUAAGCACCCAUCAACAACAUAGUGCAUUCGAAAAUGACAAGAAAAUGAGAAAAGAGAGAGAGGGAGCUUAAAUUGCACCAACCUUUGAUUCCGAGAGAAGUUUGGCCUGAUCCAACGGCAGUCAAUGCGUGCUCAAUCUGUACUAGCUUUCCGGUAGGACUGAAAGUAGUGAGAGAAAAGGAGUACUGGCUAUCACCCAUGGUUUAUUGCUUGAAGACGCAGAGAGGAAAAACUGUGAAUGCGAGUGUGUGGGAGGGAAAGACAGGGAUAUUUACUUGGGGUUUUAACUUUGCUUUUCUCGUUGGAGAAGAAGGUGUUUUCUUACGAGGGCUUUUACAAUGGAGUAUUAUGGGAUUUUAUGACGGCAGGUUGAUCCUCUGUACAUUGAGCUCAAUGAAGGCUCGGGACCAGUUUUGUUUUCAAGUAUUAUUAACAAAUAUUUAUUUAUUUAUUAAUAUACAUAAUUUUUAAUUUAUUUAAUAACAUUUAUAUAUAAUUUUUAAUUUAUUAUAUUUUUGAACUAGAAAAAUAUAUUUAAAGAACUGCAUAUAUAAAUUUUUAUAAAAAAUAAAAUAUUUGACUCACAAUAAAUUAUCCAUAUUUUUAUUAAAAAAAUAAAGUUGGGUAAACUCUUAAUUAGGCCUUGCUACUGAAUUUUGUUGUUGAUUUGUAAUUUAAUUAUUGUUGAAGAUUUUUUGUGUUAGGUUUGGAUAACUUUAUUUGGAUUUAAUCUCCAAAAUCGAAGAGUAUCAUCACUUAUAGAUGAAUGGUUUAGCUUCUCUCAUUUAUUUGGAUUUUAAUCCACUGAAACUGAGGUUUAAGAGUUUCUUGGAUUUAAUCCACUGAAACAGUUGCUUGAUCAAGAUCAUUGGCUUGUUUGAAGGCAGAUAAAGGCAUACAAAAAAAAAGCGAGAGAGAGCGAGAAAGAGAGGAUGUGAGAAAUAAUUAUAGAUAUGAGUUACAGUAGUUGAAACAAAUGAAUUACAGAUCAUUUUAUGGUGAGAGAGAAAGAGAGAGAGAGAGAGAGAAUGUGAGAAAUAAUUAUAUCAUCUUAGAUUACAGAUCAUUUUGAGAAAAUCUAAAAGAAAGUAUCAUCUUAGAUUAAUUAUAGAUAUGAGUUACAGUAGUUGAAAUUUCAAAGGCAAUUUUUUAGAGUAAAGAGGAAAUAAUAUGUUGAGAUGAUGCGAGAGCCCAAUUACAGUAAAGAGGUCAUAUAUUAUUUACACUCAACCUUAGCAAACACCAAAGCAAAACAAAUUAAAUUAAUACACUCAAAGCAGGUUCUAAAGAGUUGUGCCAAUCUUCACCCAUCUCCUCCUUCCCGUAACGUUUCCUUAGAUUGGGGCAACUCUUUAUGUGUAACUCCUGUAGAGGCGCUGCCAAAACAUAGUCCGGUAGUUCUCUCAACAACGGGCAAUUACUAAUCAUCAACUGUCGAAGAUGUGGCAUAAUGGAUAUUAUUGAAGUUGUGAUGGCAUCUUCUUCUCCCACUGAUCUCCUUUCAAUUCCAUCCCACUCUUCUACUUCUGUGAGACUCACAAUUUGUUGUCUCCGUGGACGUACCCGGUUUUUGGGAACCACGUAAAUCUGUUGUUUGUGUUUUAUUUGUGUUUGCUUUUGGUUCAGUAUGCAUAACAAAUUGGUAUCAGAGCGUUUGGGAAGCUAGAACACUGAAAAAAACACGUUUUUCAGCUCUCGGAUCGAAGUUGCAGAAUUUUCAAAGUUCUCAGAUCUUGAUUUUGACCACCUACAGAGAUUCCUCUCGUCGAUACGAGUCCGGCAAUAUAAAGAUCAUCGAAAUCGGAGUUAAAACGAUCCCUGUAGAGCUCGCCGAAGUUUCGCCGGAAAACUGCCGGAAAAACCAGACUGCCGGAAUUCUUGCCUGAGAAGACUGCCACGUCAUCCGCCACGUCACCAAACAGUGACAGAAUAUGCUCUUGACAGAAUGAGAAUAUUCCGUUAACAGAGACAGAAUAUUCCUUUGGCAGUGACAGAAUAUUCUCUUGACAGUGACAGAAUAUUCCCUUGGAUUUGACAGAAUAUUCUUUAUCAGAGACAGAAUAUUCCUUUCCUGAGUCAACUCGGUCAGAUUUGUUUUUUGGCCAACUCAGUGAUUUUAUAUCCCGUUUUUUGGCCAAGUUAAGCUUGUUCCUAGCAUUUUCAACCGUUCCGGACGCAACCGUGGUGUCCGUUUUGUGAAACAGCACACAGAAGUUACUGUUUUGGCUCUUUUGAGCAUAAAAUUGUGUGUUUUAACAAUUUCGGGAGUCCAUUUGUAAUCUAAAGGCGUCCUAAUGGCUGAUAUUCCAGAAGAAAAAUCAGCGGGGAAUGCUAGUAUACCUCCACAAUACAUCCCGGUAUCGAAUACCAAAUUUGAGGUGGAGAAGUUUGACGGGAAAGGUAAUUUUGGCAUGUGGAAAUGUGAAGUUAUGGAUAUGCUUGUCCAAAUGAAUUUGGAUUUCACUCUAGAAGAUAAACCAAGAGGAUUUGGAUGAGAAAAGCUGGGGGAGGAUAAAUCGGUUAGCUUGCAGUUCCAUCCGACUUUGUCUUGUAAAAGAUCAAAAGUACGCCUUUUCAGAACAAAACUCUGCAAAGGAAUUAUGGCAAGCACUGGAGGACAAGUUUAUGAAGAAGAGUAUAGAGAAUCGUCUCUACUUGAAGAAAAGAAUCUUCCGUUUUCAGCACAAGAAAGGUACUUCCAUGAAUGAGCAUCUGAAUGAUUUCAAUAAAAUGAUAGCUGAUUUGAAGAAUUUAGAUGUGGAAAUAGAUGAUGAAGAUAAAGCUCUGUUAUUAUUGAAUUCACUGCCUGACACAUAUGAACAUCUCGUCACCACUUUACUGUAUGGUAAAGAAAAGAUUAAAUUCAUUGAUGUGUCCAAUGCUUUGGUGAAUAAUGAGUACCGGAAGAAGGACCAGAUUGUUCACAAGGAGUCAACGUCAGAAGCAUUGACAGUUAGAGGCAGAACAAACCCUAGAAGAUUUCGAGGGCGAGGGAGAUCUCGCUCAAAAUCUAGAGGAGAAUCAUCAAACAGGCGAUAUCUUGCAAAAGAUGAGUGUGCCUUUUGUCACAAAAAGGGGCACUGGAAGAAAGAUUGUCCAAUCAAGGGCAAUAAGGAAAAAGAUGAACCAACUGUGAACGUUGCACGAGAAGAAGAUGAACGAGACUCUGCAUUCAUGGUCUCAUCACCAGAAAAACAUUGUGGUGAAUGGAUUCUUGAUUCUGCAUGUUCUUAUCACAUGUCCCCUAACAAGCACUUAUUCUCGAGACUUGAGGAGUUCGAUGGAGGAGUUGUGUUUAUGGGCAAUAAUAAUGUUUCUGAGGUCAAAGGGAUUGGGACUAUCCAUCUGAAGAUGCAUAAUGGGGUAGUCAAGACACUAACAGAGGUACGGUAUGUACCUGACUUGAAGAAAAAUCUCUUCUCACUUGGAGUCCUAGAAUCCAGUGGUUAUAAGAUUAUCAUGCAUGGUGGAGUCCUCAGAGCAAUCCGUGGUGCAUUAGUUGUCUUAAGAGGCACGAGGAUAGGAAACUUAUAUUUCCUAGAUGGAUCUACUGUUACUGGUAUAGCAGCUGUUUCCAAAAGCCUAGAAGAUGCUGAAGCAGAUAAUUCCAGACUUUGGCACAUGCGCUUAGGGCAUGCUGGUGAAAAGGCUUUGCAAGGACUAGUCAAGCAAGGUCUAUUAAAAGGCGCCAAGACUGGGAAGCAUGGGUUCUGUGAGCAUUGUGUUCUUGGAAAACAGACAAGGGUCAAGUUUGGCACUGCAAUACACAACACAAAAGGGAUUCUAGAUUAUGUUCACACAGAUGUAUGGGGACCUUCAAAGAAUGAAUCUCUUGGAGGUAAUCGUUGGUUUGUUACUUUUAUUGAUGAUUUCUCAAGACGAGUAUGGGUGUACAUGAUGAAACACAAGGAUGAGGUCCUUGAUAUCUUUCUGAAAUGGAAGAAAAUGGUGGAGACUCAAACGGGAAGGAGAGUUAAGACUCUUCGGUCAGAUAAUGGUGGUGAGUACACUUCAGAUCCUUUCUUUGAAGUUUGCCAGGAUGAAGGGAUCAAGCGACAUUUUACUGUGCGCAAAACACCACAACAAAAUGGAGUAGCAGAACGCAUGAACCGCACAUUGGUGGAGAAAGUCCGAUGUAUGCUAUCACAUUCGGGACUAAGCAAAGUGUUCUGGGGCGAGGCAUUAAGCUAUGCCGUCAUAUUGUUAAUCGGUUACCUUCAGCAGCAUUAAAUGGAAGAACCCCCUUGGAGGUAUGGUCAGGCUCUCCUGCAAAUGAUUAUGACUCUAUGCGUAUAUUUGGUUGCUCAGCAUAUUAUCAUGUUACUGAGUUAAACUAGAUCCUAGAGCCAAGAAAGCUAUAUUUUUGGGCUUUAGUGGAGGAGUAAAAGGUUACAGACUCUGGUGUUCUGAAUCAAAGAAAGUGAUUUUGAGUAGAGAUGUCACUUUUGAUGAGUCUGGCAUGUUACAGCAGGAGAAAUCACAGGAGAAGGAAAAACAGUCUGGUGAUGCACAACAGGUGGAGUUGGAGACUUCAGUCAUCCCUAUAAAGACUGUUCAGACAAUCCCUACUGAAGGAGAUUCAGAUGAAAGUUCAGAUGAAGAGGAUGCAACAACUCCAGCAACCACACAACAAGAAUCCAUUGCAACGAGUAAACCGAAAAGAGUUAUCAAGAAACCUGCUCGGUAUUGUGACAUGGUGGCUUAUGCACUUCCAGUGAUUGAUGAUGGAAUCCCCUACACCUACAAAGAAGCAGUACAGAGUGUAGAAAGUGCAAAAUGGAAAGAGGCAAUGGAUGAAGAGAUGAAAUCUCUCCACAAGAAUCAGACUUGGGAUUUGGUACAACUCCCUAAGGAAAAGAAGACAAUUGGUUGCAAGUGGGUAUAUGCCAAGAAGGAAGGUAAUCCUGGAAAAGACAACAUCCGAUUCAAAGCAAGAUUGGUAGCAAAAGGCUAUGCUCAGAAGGAGGGGAUAGAUUAUAAUGAGGUAUUCUCUCCAGUUGUUAAGCAUUCAUCAAUUCGUAUUUUGCUAGCCUUAGUUGCACAAUUUGAUUUGGAGUUAGCCCAACUUGAUGUGAAAACUGCCUUCCUACAUGGAGAUUUGGAAGAGGAAAUUUACAUGUCUCAGCCAGAUGGUUUCAAAGUCACUGGGAAAGAGAAUUGGGCUUGUAAACUGAAGAAGUCAUUGUAUGGCUUGAAACAAUCUCCUCGCCAGUGGUAUAAGCGAUUUGAUAAGUUCAUGACAGAACAUGGAUACACACGGAGUCAGUUUGACAACUGUGUAUAUUUUCGCAGACUUCUUGAUGGUUCUUUCAUCUAUUUGCUCUUAUAUGUGGAUGAUAUGUUGAUUGCAUCAAAGAGCAAGGUGGAGAUUGAUAGACUGAAAGCUCAACUGAGAACUGAGUUUGAAAUGAAGGACCUUGGAGAAGCUAAGAAGAUUCUUGGCAUGGAGAUUCAGAGAGACAGAAGAAAAGGCACAGUCUGUUUGACACAGACCCAAUACUUGAAGAAACUUCUACAGAGAUUUGGGGUAGAUGGUAAGACCAAGCCGGUAAGCACACCUUUAGCUCCUCAUUUUAAGCUAAGUGCUUCAAUGUCUCCACGCACAGAGGAAGAGCGCAAACAUAUGGCUCAAAUUCCGUAUGCAAAUGCAGUUGGUGCAUUAAUGUAUGCAAUGGUUUGUACGAGACCAGAUAUUUCACAUGCUGUCAGUAUGGUGAGCAGGUAUAUGCAUGAUCCGGGAAAGGGUCACUGGCAGGCAGUUAAGUGGAUUCUACGGUACAUUCAUGGCACAACUGAUAUUGGUUUGAAGUUUGAGAGGGAUGAUAGACUCGAGCAAAAUUUAGUUGGUUAUGUGGAUUCGGAUUAUGCUGGUGACUUAGACAAGCGUCGUUCCACAACAGGCUAUGUGUUUACACUUGCUAAAGGGCCUGUAAGUUGGAGGUCAACUUUACAAUCAACAGUAGCUUUGUCAACAACUGAGGCAGAGUACAUGGCAGUAACAGAAGCUUUCAAGGAAGCUAUUUGGUUACAUGGGUUGAUUGAAGAUUUGGGAAUUGUUCAAGAGCACGUGGAUGUCCAUUGUGAUAGUCAAAGUGCUAUUUGUCUUGCAAAGAAUCAGGUUCAUCAUUCCCGCACCAAGCACAUCGAUGUUCGAUUUCAUUUUGUUCGAGAAAUUGUGGAUGAAGGGGAUAUUCUGCUACAGAAAAUUGUACUAUAGAUAAUCCAGCUGACAUGCUCACAAAAUGUGUCUCAGGGAUCAAGUUCCAACAUUGUUUGGACUUGGUCAACAUCUCUCGGUGUUGAGCACCUUCAGGGUGCAAUGCCAUAUGGCGCAAUGGAGGCGGCAUUGAUUAAUCACGAGUAUUGGAUGGAAAAAUCUUGCAAAGGUGGAGAUUUGUAGCAAAUUGUCAACAUUUGAAAAUUGUCAACAUUUUUCUCAACAACCCUCUCCUUUACUCAACCACUAUCAACCACCCUCUCCUUCUUUUUGACCAUUAUCACUUCUCAUCAAGGUGCUGCCAAAGCUCUCCUAUAAAGACAGAGACGAGAGAGUGCAGGGUAGAAGAGAGGAAGUGUCAAGUGCAGAGGAAGUGUGGUGAGUGCAAGUGAGUGCAACUGUGAGAGUGAAAAAUACAGAUUUGAGAGAAACACAGAGUGUUAGAGUGAAACACUGGGUUUUGUGGGGAUUGUAUUGGGGUUGAGUUGAGUGUUUGUAUUAUUCCUCCAAUAAUAUACAAUCUGUUGUCUCCGUGGACGUACCCGGUUUUGGGAAACCACGUAAAUCUGUUGUUUGUGUUUUAUUUGUGUUUGCUUUCGGUCCAGUAUACACAACACACGUUUCUACACUAACGGAGUGUAAGCACCUGUAAUCUGGUUAAUGUCAUCAUCCAAUUUGGCCAUUCCAACCCUCCGUAACUCCAUAUGAUUAGAUUUUCCAAGUCUGACGGAGGCUGUAAAGCUUCAAUUAAAAUGCCGUUCUCCUGGUUGUAGUAGAAAUCCAAUUCCAAACGAAGCAGGCGCUUCUUAUUCUUGAGUUGUGCUUCUGCAGCGUCACUCGCAUCUUCUUUACCUCCUCCUAGAUUACUUAUAAUAAGACUCCCUCCAAUGUGAUUUAAGUUUUUUAAUUCUCUUAGAUUAGCUGCUUUACUUUCAUUCUCACCACCAGCACACACAGUAAACACAUCUAAUGUUCGAAGACAUGUUAUCCUCUCUAUUCCCUUUGGUAUGAAGGCCAC
RNAcentral lists this long non-coding RNA (82682 nucleotides) under Populus tremula. RNAcentral describes it as "long non-coding RNA (PTRE_LNC003209)". The record is from RNAcentral. Lineage: Eukaryota; Viridiplantae; Streptophyta; Magnoliopsida; Malpighiales; Salicaceae.